GAUAGGUAGUGAAGCACGACUCAUCAUAGAGCGAACCAUAUCCAAUAAGGUUCGAUUACGCCUUUCUGCCACACCAUUCAACUGCGGUGUCCUAGGAGGCGUCAAUUGCGAAACUAUUCCACACUCCUUGAGAUAAUCGUGGAAUUCAAGACUUAGGUACUCUCCUCCUCGAUCGGAUCGAAGCAUCUUGAUUUUCCUGCCCAAUUGAUUCUCCACUUCAUUCUUGAACUCUUUGAACUUUUCAAAGGUUUCUGACUUUUGCUUGAUUAAGUAGAUAUACCCAUAUCUACUAUAGUCAUCGGUAAAAGUCACAUAGAAGCGGUUCCCAUCCUUCGUGGUUGAUCUAAACGGUCCACAUACAUCGGUAUGUAUUAGGUCCAAUAGACCCUCGCCCCUUUCACAUGUACUCGUGAAGGGUGACUUAGUCAUCUUUCCAAGCAAACAAGACUCGCAUGUGUCAUCUUCCCUAAGGUCGAAUGACUCCAACACUCCAUCCUUUUGGAGUUGGGCUAUGCGUUUCUUGUUGACAUGUCCAAGACGACAAUGCCACAAGGAUGCUUUAUCCAUACUAGUGGAAGAAUCAAUAUUCAAAACAUCAUUUCCUAAGUUAUCAACAAUCAUAACGGUUUCAUAUAUUCCAUUACAUGGUAUAGCUUCAAAGUAAAAGACACCAUUUAGAUAAGCCAAAAUAGAACCAUUCUCAUUAUUAAAAGAAAAUCUAAAUCCUUGUCUAUAUAAACCAUGAAAUGAAAUGAUGUUUCUUGCCAUUUCUGGCGAAUAGCAACAAUUGUUCAAAUCUAAAACUAAACUAUUCCUAAGCACUAAGGAAUACACUCCAAUCUUGGUCACAGGCGACGAUCUUCUGUUCCCCAUGAUUAGAUUGAUCCUUCCUUGCUCCACAUCCCUACUUCUUCUUAGUCCCUGCACAUUAGAACAAAUGUGAUAACCACAACCGGUAUCAAGAACCCAAGAAAUAGCAUGAUUAGAAUCGUUAGAUUUGAUUGUAUAUAUACCUGCGAAAGAUGGCUUGAUCUUUCCUUCUUUGAUUGCUUGCAGGUAAUCCGGGCAGCUUCUCUUCCAAUGUCCUAUCUUGUGGCAGUGGUGGCACUCUGCCUCCUUCGGGUUAGAGCAGGGCUUGGCGGGAUCAACUUUGGUCCCACUAGAAGAGGCACCAUCUCGGGCUUUCACCUUGCGAUAGUUCUUCGAUGAAGCUUUCCUCUUCUUUCCCUUCCCUUGUCCAAUAGCCAAGACAGGAGCAGCGGGCGGAUUGGGAGUAGGUGCAACAGACUUGUCUUUGAAGUUGCUCUCAGCAACCCUCAAGAGACCUUGGAGCUUGCUUAGGGUGACCUCUUCUUUGUUCAUGUGGUAGGUCAUCCUAAAUUGGUUGUACAUCGGAGGCAAAGAGUGAAGCACCAUGUCGAUCGCCAAGUCUUCACCGAAGUCAACAUUUAACUUGCGGAGGCGGUCAACAUACCUUUGCAUCUUUUGCAAGUGCACGGUAAGAGAUUCUCCAUGACCCAUCUUCGCGGAAAUCAUGUUAGUGAAAAUCUCGUACCUCUCUUGUCUCGCGUUUUGGUGGUACCUCUCCAAUAAGUCUUGAUGCAUCUCGUACGGGUACAUGUCCUCGUAGGACUUUUGGAAUUCGGAGUUCAUGGUGGCGAUCAUGAUGCAAUGUACCUUCGUUGCAUCUCGCUCAUGAGUUUCAAAGGCGGUGAUUUCGGCGGGAGUAGCAAUUUCGGGGUUGAUUUUCUCGAGCUUCUCAUCGAGGACAUACUCCUUAUCCUCAUAGCGAGCAAUGGUGCGAAUGUAUCUUAUCCAUUCGCUAAAGUUCGUUCCAUCGAAGGUGACCUUUUGGCAAAGGCUCAUCAACGUGAAAGAACUAGCAGCAGCGUUGUUUGCGUUCGACAUCUACAAUUAGAAAAGGACAAAGAUAGAUUAGAAUAAGAAUCCCUAAUUAUCACCCAAUAAGAAAAUUAGGGCUAGGAUCCAACAAUAACAUUUACAUACUAGAAAAGGGAUGCCGUAAUCUAACAUGCAAAUAAAUUGAAGGUAAGUGAAUGACGAUUCACUAAUUCUCCAUCACAAAACUUAAACUAUUAGUCCUAAGUGUUUUUGAGAAUUCCUAGGUUCGGAUGAGAUUCAUUGAAACUAUUCAAUGGCAUGUUUAAAUCUCGAUAUGCCCCUCUUGUUUGUGACUGGGAUGCCGAGGAUCACAAAGCGGGUGUGAAUUACCAUGCAAAUUCACAUGGUGCCUUCAUUGUAACAAUCACCUAUUCGAUGUGCCGGUAAACCACACACGCUCCAUCGAACUAUGAUAAACAAUGAAUCACCCUUUGCCACCUUCGCUUAGAACCAAUUAGUGUGCCGGUAAACCACACACGCUCCACUAACAUCUUAGCAAGGUGCAAAGUGUAAUUUCAUGGGAUUGCAUCAAUUCACUUUUCCUAAAGUAACUAGGAUUGGGAAAUUUUAAAAAAAUGUGUAGUUACUUUAUAUUUCUUAUUAUACUUUUAAUGAGAGGAUGAGGUUGCCCUAUCCUACCCGUUCGGCUAACGACCCUCCACCAAUCAAGCAAGCGGUGGGUGUGAGUGUACACCCAUUAAGCGCCAUUUUAUAGGCCGCAACCUUAUACCCACCUUAUAGAUCGGCUUCGUGAAUGAGGCCUACUAACGGUAAGACUAGCAUUUAGUUAUACAUAUAUAUAUUAUUCUAGUAAUAUCAUAUUAGUAUAGGGUUGUAUUUUAAAACUUUUAAAAUCUAGGGUUUGAAAUUUAAGUUGUCUAAAUUAAAACUUUUAAUCACAAAAGUAAAUUUCAAAACAUGAGGGUAGGUUUUAAACAUUUAAAACAUGGAGGAUCAAAUAACAAAUAAUUCCAAUUAACAAUUAAUAUCCUAAUUAUCUAUAUUUGAUUUAUUCAAGAUUUCUUUUAAAGAUAAUUACCAAAAUAAUCAAAAUAAUUAAUUAAUUAUCAUAUAAGGAAAUUAAAUAUUUAAUUAGUUGAUAAUUACCUUUAACUAGAUCAAGAUAAUAGUUAUAUUUAUCAGAAAAACGAAUUAAUGUUGAUCUAAUUAGUUUAUGGUAAGUUAAGAUAAGAUAAACACAAAGAAAUCCCGAAUCUGGCCAUUCCUGACGCCUGGACUCGCCGAGUGCACAAAUGGACUCGCCGAGUCAGGCCUACUCGCCGAGUCCACUUUGAGACUCGCCGAGUCCAUGACUCAGAAACCAAAAAUUCGAAUUUUGCAGGUUUGUUUCAGUUAAUCAAGCAACAAUUUACAGAAAACCAAGCUAGGCUCUGAUACCACUGAUGGGUUUUAGCCAUAAGAACUUUCCUAUGUGCGCAUGCAAAACCCUAAUGCUUGGAUCUAGGCUUUCUAAUAAACAUGCUUUGAAUCCAAGUCUUCUAAUGACUAAUUAGGUUAAAUAACAACAUUGAAACAGAUCUAGAAUCAUACCUUUGAGUUCCUUGUUGAUCUUGAGGUCUUGGAGCUUCUAGAGUCACAAGUGUCACUCCUCUAAUGGCUUACAAACACCAACAGCAAUAAGAAUGAUUUAGGAGAGAGGAGAGGGGAGGAAUUCGACCAGAGUUCUCUUGCUUUUUCAGAAGUGUCGAAUUCCCUAUGCCAUGGGGUCUAUUUAUACUUGUAGAUUCCUUAAGGAUUACAGAUAAGUCCCUAUCAGAUAAUCUUCUCUUAAGGCUAUCCAAAUCCAUUCCUAGAUAACUCUAAUGGACGAUUUUAGCUAUCCUAAUCCUCUUAGAAUUCGUCCAUAGUAUAUCCAAAUGGAUUUACAGUUUAAAGCUUAACUAUCAAACAAUUGACAGUUUAUACCCCUUUAUUUAAUUAAUCUCUUUAAGUCACCAAAUUAAUUCUAAUUAAUUCUAUGACUUAUAUUAAUCAAAUAACAAAUAUAUUAUUCAUUAUAUUAUUCCCAUAAUAUAUUAAUAAUAUUUAUUCUCUCUUAAUAAAUCAUCCUAUCAAGUUGCUAUGGUGAAGGCAACCCAAAAGGACCAUGCACAACCGGAUAUAGUUACAGCCUUAGACACUAUUCCAACAAUAUUUAUGAGAGUAAUUACUUAAUGUGAUUAGGCGGAGGCUAGAUCAUAUUUCUACCGAGUUAGAGACUUACCAAGACACCUGAGGUGAGUCUUCUCACUAUACGUACCUAGAGCGGUAUUAUAUGUUGAACAGAGGGUCCUACGUGUUUUAUAUGAGAUUAUGUGCUAUAUGUUAUAUGUAUGUUGUAUGAUGUUAUAAACUGGACCGGAGGGUCGAACGAUAUAGACGGGGUCGGAGGGUCCAACGAGCUAUGACCGGACCAGAGGGUCNCAACGGGCUAUGACCACACCAAAGGGUCCAACGAGCUACGGUACUGGAGGGUCCCGCUGAGACACAUCAAUCAGAGGGUCGUAUUAUAGCCUCGAGUGGCGAAUUUGUUUUGUGCGGUAUUUUGGGAAACUCACUAAGCAUUUAUGCUUACAGUUGUUGUGUUAUGUGUUUCAGGUACUAGUGAUGAGCGCAGGAAGGCGCCGGCGUGAUUCGUACACACACACAUUGGAGUUAUAUAAAUUCUGAUCUUGGGGUUUUGUACUGAUACAAUGUUUUUAAAAUGAAUGUGAAUGCUAUUUUAUGGUUUUCAAAGUGAAAAAUUGUUUCAAAUUUUUACGUUGUUACAAGUUGGUAUCAGAGCCUUGGUUUGAGGGAUUCGGAUGCAUCUUCGGGCGUAUCUGAACUCAAACUGAGGAUUUGAGGAAAUUUUUUGAUAAUGAAGUAAAAUUUUUGAAAAGGGUAAAAAGAGUUUUGAGACAAACAAAGCAGAGCUGUGUGUACAAUCAGCCAGCGCCCGAACAGUGAAUCCCCAAAAGUACCCUUACAUUAUGUGUUAUGAUAUAUGCUAUGUUAUAUUAUGCAUGCUAAAGUAGGCAAGGUAUUCUUAUUAGGACUAGAGUGGCCUGAUUUGUGAUGCCUUAGCCUAGGAGAUUUCUGCUGCUGAGUUGCUUUGAGAGCUAGUAGAUAGCAAUUAAGAGCUCAUGAGAGGUCUAUCGGAGGGUAGCCAAUGCAUAAUGAGAGUAGAGUACUUGUGACCCAGGAUCCAAGGAGGAGGACUUGGGGUGAAUGCUGAUGCGGUGUUGUCAGUAGUAUAGGGCCCGUACUACUGAAGACACUGGAUCAGUGAGCAUUCCAAGUAAGAAUCCUUUGGAGAACGGAAGACGAGUAGGGUUGCGUCAUCGAGUAUGAGUAUGCUCGAUCGUGUCUCUGAUAUUUACUGUUGUAUUUCAGAAGCAUCAUGGUUGGGACUUGACACACACCUGAGAGCAGUGGUGUUAGCGACGAGGAGAUCCGUCGAUUGAUUCAUGAAGAGGUGGCUGCUGCCAUCCGGGCUGAGAUUCCAGAGAUGUUUGGGAACAUCAAGACCACAUUGAUUGAGACCUUUGAUGAGCGGUAUGCAGCACUGACUGAGGCUGCGGCAGCUNGGCUGCUGUUGUUGUUGCCAUACCUCAGGGAGGUGACUCGUUGUUGUUUUGGGAGUUCAGCAACACGAAGCCGCCAGAGUUCGAUGGGAUGCAGGACUCGAUUGCUGCGAUGAGAUGGAUCUCUGACAUCGAGGGAUGUUUCUAUACGUGUUCUUGUCCAGAGCACUUGAGGGUACGGUUCGCUUUGAACCAGCUCCACUUGGGAGCGAAGGAUUGGUGGAAGUUCGUGACGGCGAACUUCACUUUGGCAGAGAUUUCUGAGGUGACCUGGGAGAGGUUCACCGCUAUGUUCGGAGACGAAUAUGUUCCCCCGGUUGAGAGGGAACGGUUGAUUCAAGAGUUCUUUACCCUCAAGCAGGGUACUGAUUCUGUGGCAGUGAUCACCAGGAAGUUUCAUGAGAGGGCGAUGUUUUGCCCUGAGCAAGUGUCUUCUGAGCAGGCUUGUAUGAGCCGUUAUCUGAGUGUUCUGAGGAGAGAUAUUUGGGAGUUCGUGGCGAACUCGACUUACCGGACAUUUGCUGAGCUCCAGGAAAAUGCCUGGAAGAGGGAGAUUGAGUUGGAGACUCAACCCAAGGAGGAGGCCGAGUCACAGAGGGUGGAUCGGUGACUGGCUCAGUCUCAGCCAGCAGCCAAGCGGGCUAGACCUGCUGAUUCAAGAUAUGGGGGCGCGAAGGGCCGCACUUGUGGGAAGUGCGGCAAGAGUCACGAGGGGUCGUGCAGGGCUGGAGUAUGCUACAAGUGCGGGAAGGAGGGGCAUAUCGCGAGGGAUUGACCCAAGGGAUUUUCGGUUUGCUUUCAUUGCAACCAGACCGGCGAUUGGAAGGACGAGUGUCCUCAGUUACUUCAGGGAUCAACGCAGGGAUCUUCACCUGCUGCUAGGGAUACCAAGGUUCGGCCGGUGAAGGUCGAGGCACUGAAGGCUCGUGGGAGAGCUUUCCAGUUGACUGCGGUGGAGNGCGCCCGAUGUUGUGGCUGGUAUGUAUUCUAUAUUCAUCUUUUAAUUGAGUUGAGUUAUUGUGCUUAUAUGAUGAUGUGUGUAGGUACUUUUCUUGUGAGUUCUAUGCCUGCUUUGGUAUUAUUUGACUCAGGUGCGAGUCGGUCGUUUGUUUCCGUAGCAUUUAGUCAGCACAUUAGUAUCCAUCGAGAGGCGUUGGAUCGACCUUUGCGAGUUUCCAUAGCUGAUGAGCGAGCAGUGUAUGCUUCAGAUGUGAUUCGAGGAUGUGUCCUUGAGAUCUUCGGUGUGGAGUUUCCGAUAGAUCUAGUUCCGAUUGAGAUGGGGGAUGUGUGUGUUAUAGUGGGUAUGGAUUGGUUGAGCCAAUAUGGAACUGUGAUAGACUGCGAGCUUCAGUUGGUGACGAUACUAGACCCUAGUGGGGGAGUACUUAUAAUGUUCGGUAAGGGAACCCGAUGUGGGUCGGCGUUUUGUUCGACCGCCAGGGCGAGGCAGAGUUUGCAGCAAGGCUGCUGUGGAUUCGUAGCCUAUGUGACAGACACACGAGUGGCCGUUGGGAGGCCAAGUUCGAUUGAUGAGGUUCCGAUAGUGUGCGAGUUUCCGGAUGUUUUUCCCGAGGAACUACCGGGUGUGCCUCCCGAGAGGCAAGUAGCGUUCCGUAUCGAUUUGGUUCCGGGAGCAGCUCCUAUCGCCAAGGUGCCUUAUCUCCUCACGACACCAGAGAUGCAAGAGUUAUCCUUGCAGCUUCAGGAGCUGUUGGGGAAGGGGUUUAUUCGACUGAGUAGCUCACCUUAGGGAGCUCCGAUCCUCUUUGUCAAGAAGAAGGAUGGUUCACAUCAGAUGUGCAUUGACUAUCGAGAAUUGAACAAGCUAACGGUUAAGAACUGUUAUCCAUUGCCGAGGAUUGAUGAUUUGUUCGAUUAGUUGCAGGGAGCGUCUUGGUUCUCCAAGAUAGUCUUGAGUUCGGGUUAUCAUCAAAUGAGGGUUCGGGAUGAAGAUAUCCAGAAGAUAGCGUUCAGAACUCGUUAUGGGCAUUACAAGUUCGUGGUGAUGCCUUUUGGGCUCACCAAUGCACCAGGUGCGUUCAUGGAUCUCAUGAACAGGGUGUGCAGGCCGAUGCUGGACCGGUCGGUGAUUGUAUUCAUUGAUGAUAUUUUGGUGUANUUGGUGUAUUCGAGAUCCAGAGAGCAGCAUGAGGAGCAUUUGAGGGAGAUCCUUGGAGUUCUGAGAUCGGAGAGGCUUUAUGCCAAGUUCUCCAAAUGUGAGUUCUGGUUACGAGAGGUUCAGUUUUUGGGGCAUCUCGUCAACCAGAAUGAGAUAUUGGUCGAUCCGGCCAAGAUUGAGGCGGUCAUGAGGUGGGAGGUGCCGAGAUCACCCACGGAGAUCAGGAGCUUUCUGGGUUUGGCCGGCUAUUAUCAGAGAUCUAUUAAGGAUUUCUCCAAGAUCGCCGUGCCACUCACCAAGUUGACCCGGAAGGGUGCUGAAUUUUCUUGGGGUCCGGAGCAGCAGACCUCGUUCGAGACACUUCGCCAGAAAUUAUGCGAAGCCCCAGUAUUAGCCCUUCCAGAAGGGAUGGAGGAUUUUAUGGUAUAUUGUGAUGCAUCGAUAUCCGGAUUGGGAGCGGUGCUUAUGCAGAGGGGGCAUGUGAUAGCAUAUGCAUCGAUGUAGCUUAAGCCUCAUGAGUCGAGGUAUCCCACUCAUGAUCUAGAAUUGGUAGCGGUAGUGUUCGCCCUCAAGAUCUGGCGACACUAUCUGUAUGGGGUUCGGUGUACGAUAUACACAGACCACAAGAGCUUGAAGUAUUUGAUGGAUCAGCCCAACCUAAAUAUACGCCAAAGGAGGUGGUUGGAUGUGGUCAAGGAUUAUGAUUGGGAGAUCCUAUACCACCCGGACAAGGCUAAUGUUGUAGCCGAUGCACUGAGCCGUAGGGCGGAGGGCGCCCCGAUGCGAGAUGUUUGUUUGAGAUUGACAGUGAUGACCCCGGUGUUGGAUGCUAUUCGUGGGGCCCAGGCUGAGGCCGUGAGGCCAGAAAGCCAGAAGAGAGAGCGAGUUGUCGUGCUGGUAUCAGAAUUCGUUACCGAUAGCCGGGGGCUUAUGACAUUUCAGGGUCAGAUAUGGGUACCAUCUGUGGGCGGGACGCGUACCAUUUUGAUGGAAGAGGCUCAUCGAUCGAAGUUCUCGAUCCAUCCCGGGGCCACUAAGAUGUAUUUGGACCUGAAAAGGGAGUAUUGGUGGCCCUGUAUGAAGAGGGAUGUCGCAUGGUUUGUAGAGAGAUGCUUGACCUGUCGCAGGGUUAAGGCCAAGCACCAGCGUCCACAUGGUAAGCUGCAGCCAUUAGAGAUUCCCGAGUGGAAAUGGGAACAUAUUACCAUGGAUUUCAUCACCAAAUUGCCAAGGACUGCGAGAGGUGUCAAUGCAAUUUGGGUGAUUGUGGACAGGUUGACGAAGAGCGCUCACUUCCUUGCUAUCAGUGAGAGCUCUUCUGCGGAGAGGUUGGCAGAGAUGUACGUGAGAGAGGUGGUAUCGCGACAUGGAGUGCCGAUCUCGAUUGUCUCAUAUCGAGAUGUACGUUUUACUUCCAGAUUUUGGAAGAAGUUUCAUGAGGAAUUGGGUAUGAGACUGCAUUUUAGUACCGCAUACCACCCACAGACUGACGGGCAGAGUGAGCGGACGAUUCAGACGCUCAAGGACAUGCUCCGAACAUGUGUGUUGGAUUUUGGCAGGAGUUGGGACACGUACUUGCCCUUGGCAGAACUACAGGACUGGAGGGUCCUGCUGAGACACAUCGACCGGAGGGUCGUAUUAUAGCCUCGAGUGGCGUAUGUGUUGUAUGCGGUAUUUUGGGGAACUCACUAAGCAUUUAUGCUUACAGUUGUUGUGUUAUGUGUUUCAGGUACUAGCGAAGACCGUGGGAAGGCGCCGACGUGACUUGUACACACUAGAGAGAGAGUUUAAUUUGUAUGAUCUUGGGAUAUGUUAUGUUUCGAAAACUACUGUUGGAAAUAUUUGAGAGUAUUUUUAUAUGAACUUGGUUGAUGAAAAAUGAAAAAUUUGUUUUGAAAUUUACGUUGUUACAUAUGUGCUUUUGAAUCAUGUGCUUGAACAUGUGAGGCAUUAUCUAUGGUCAAGAUAUCUUCUAUUUCAUGGUUGAUAUUAUCAAGGAUUGAUAUAUGCCAUUUUUUUUCAUGCCUAGAGUUAUGAGUGGGGUACAUCUCGUCGAGCUAGAUUUAGAUGGUCAGGUAGAUUUUUGUGGGCCAUUAAUGGAAACAAAUCAGGGGUAUCUAUUGGAAGAUCAAUAGUUAGUGUUCAUAAGAUCAGUAGUUAGUGUUCAUAAGUGUUGCUACCAUUUCAAGGGAAGGAGCAGUAGCAAGAGGAUGAUGAUGGUAGUUUUAUGAGCUUGUUCGAACCAUUGGAAGUGUUAAAGAAAUUUUGAAGUUGUAUCGGUUAAAGAUGGUUAGAAUGCAUAAAUCCUUCAGUAAAUGGAAUAUAAUGUGGUAAUCCAUCAGUUCCGGUAAGGGGAUUCAUUAUUCGUUGCUUCCAGUAAGUUAGUUAGUGUGUAGAAAAAUCCAAGUGGGAGAGAACUAUUUGGAUGCCAGAUGAUAGAAUCAGGUACAAAAAUAGGGAGAGUUUCACCUCCUACUCAAGGGAAGUCAACUUAAGUGGUAUUUUGGAUAGAGGUUGCAUAAGGUUGGGAGUUCAGAAGCUUUCAACAUCAGAUUUGCACAUUCAUAGUAAUGCAUAACAGACAUAUGGAUGAAUCCAGGUCGAGGGUGGUGUUAUAAUUCCGAUCUUGAAGAAAUCCAAACGAUUUUGAUUCCAACAAACUCCGAUUCCAGUUUUUGGUUUUGAUCUGAUGACGGUUUUCAUGAAGUUCCGAUUUGUGAUAUGCAAUUUCAAUUUCGAAUCUGGUCUCAAUUCCAACAAUGAACUUGUUCGUUCCUGAAUCAAACAAUUAAACUUCCAUUUACGAUUCAACACUUCGCUCCGAAUCUAACAAUCACAGUUCCGUUUGCAUAACAAUGACUAUGAGAGGUUCGCUUCAAGUUCAAUUACUCACCUUUCAUUCUGAAUCCAUCGAUAACACAUCCAAAGCGAACCCAAACGAAUGUUUGUUUCCAUUCGUUUCCACGUGAGACCUUCGCUUCUUGUGAGAUUCGUGUCUAUGAGUUUCGCUUCUAUGACCUUCGCUUCAAUGAAUGAAUUAAGAACUGUAAAGCCUUUGCUACCAAGUAAUAGCCUAAUUAGUAGACAUAAAAUUCCGCUUCUAGUUACCAAGUUGGAUGAGUUUCGUUUUUUUUCGUUUGAUACCAGUGAAUUGCAAAUAAUGUGUAUCAUAUUUUAUCAUAGUUAUGGAAUUGACCCCUAGAGAAUCAGUAAAGAAUCAAAUGCAGCCCAAUGUACCGAUCAAACUUCAUCUUUUGAAUUUAACCUUUUAUUUCUUCAUAGUUUCGAACCAUCCCCUGCUAAAAGUACAUAUGACAACUUGCAUCCACUGUUUACUGCAACAUGUUAGAAUUUUACCCCUCUUGCUGAAAAUGUCUCUUUUCACCCUAUCUUUUCAACUUUUUCAGCAUUUUGUCAUUUCCAACAAUUAAAAGUCAAUGGAAAUUGAUUUCUUCAAUAAAAUUUCUCCUAUUUGAUUGAAUCUUCAUAAGAGUUCACCAUAUUUUGUCCAUUUUUCGUUUUUUUGAUAAUAAAGGAAAAAAUAUUUUUAUGGGACUUUUGAUACCCAUUUAAGGUUCAACAUUGAAGUUCGUUUCUUGCAAACCUAUUUAUUUGAAGAAAAUCUAUCAUCUUCUGAAAAUAAUACCCUCCUUUUAGUUGGAAAACAAAAAUUUCUAUAAAUUUCGUUAAAUUACCCAAAUUCUCUUUUCUUUUCCUUCCAACUUCUAACAUUUUUAUCUGAAGAAAAAAGAGAAUUAAGGUUUCUUUGAACAUGCUUGACUUUAACUUUCUCAACUUUUUCACAAGCAUUAGAAACUUGUACCUUGGGCAUCCAAACCUUCUUUAUUUUACUCUUGUUCUUUCUCUUCUUCUUCCUUUUCUUAUUUAUAGGCUUCAUAAACAAAUUUCAGAUUUGAACAACCUUUUCACCAUUCUAAAUCUGAUCAUUAGAAGACUUUGACACACAAACUUUUGGAGUUUGGUAAAUCUGGAUUUCUAGAAGAAUUGGCUUUCUAUAAGGAAUCAUUCCUUAAAAAACAUCAUCUGAAACAUCCCAAAAAUACAACCCAAAAAUUUCACUUUUAAGACAUCAUUAAAACCAUCAUUUUAUGACCAAAGUAUAAAAUCAAAAAAUAAGUGUUUCGAAAUCUCACAAUAUCUAUCACAUAUCAAAUCUCAUGUCAAAUGUCAUAUCAAAAUAUCAGAGUAAAACUCCCAGGUUGAAGACUGUGGUGUGUGCGAUGCGAUCAACCCGAGCCCUUCCCUUUGCUAGUGGAAGUAACUAAAAUGAAAACUGAAAACUGCAAGCACGAAGCUUAGUGAGCUACCUCAAACUACCACAUACCAUACAAUAAUAUAUAUAAAGCAAAUAUUGGGCCUUGCCCACUGCAUCGGACCGAAGUCUGGACUAACUAGGGCCUUGCCCGCUGCGUCGGACCGAAGUCCGGAAUAACUAGUGCCUUGCCCGCUGCAUCGGACCGAAGUCUAGACUAACUAAGGCCUCUCCCACUGCAUCGGACCGAAGUCUGGACUAACUACGGCCUCGCCCGCUGCAUCGGACCGAAGUCCGGAACAACUAGGGCCUUGCUCGCUGCAUCGGACUGAAGUCUGGAAUAAACUAAACAUAACAUAACAUGAUCGUAACAUAUACAUGCAUGAAUCACAAAGACAUCAAGCAUACAAACUACUUCUCGGGACUACCCUGGCAUCAGACCCAAGUUCGGAACUACUAUCACCUAAACGGGCCGGCAUUGUGGCCUUAGACCCGCUCCUACUAGAAGGAAACUCACCUCGCGUAGCUGACUGUUGAAAUAUUGAGCGGGAAUGUCUGAAUGCUAAUCCAUAAUUGCCACAAUGACACUUUGUCAAAACACUGAUAACUAUUGUCAGGGUAAAAUGACCAUUUUACCCUUGGCUAGUGUCAACAUCCUGGUCAAAGUCAACUUCCAGUUGACCUGACUCGCCGAGUUGGCUCUUCAACUCGUCGAGUCCCCUAGUCUUUCAUUUUUCCUCAACCCGAUUCUGCUCGCCGAGUACUCCUUUAUUCAUGAUAUCGGGAAAACCUUUAACUGACUCACUGAGUUGUAUGAACAACUCGUCGAGUCUAUCUUCAUCAUAUGAACAUGUCCAGUCUGUGAGUUGCCGAGUUGUAUGAACAAAUCGUCAAGUCUAUCUUCAUGGGUUGGGAGAUUGCCUUGGACUCGCCGAAUGUGUUCUUCCACUCGCCGAGUCCCAUGGUUUCCAGGCCAUGGUUAUGUCCUAAUAUGUUGAGUCACUCCUCUAGACUCAUCCAAUCUCUUCUAAACUCAAUUGGGUUCCCUUGAUCCCCGAACUGAUUUGGGGAAUCAACACAUGACUCGCCGAGUCCCAAAACGGACUCGUCGAGUCUAUUAAUGACCAAGUCUAUAACAUCUCCUCUUGAAUUCCUCCUUCUUCCUCUUCUUCACCCAAACUUCAAACACACAAGGUAGCUCAAGAAAUGACACACAAAUACUCACAAGGCUCAAAGGUGGCGGUUUAGGGUUUUCUGGACGUUGAGGGAGUGAUAAGGGAGGUCAUAGAGGCGUUAUGUUCUUUAAAUAGGGAGACAAACCCUUGAAAUUAGGGUUUUCAGCAAACGGCGCCUACUCUCCGAGUCGGUCUUCCAACUCGUCAAGUAGACUAAUUAGUUCCUGACACAGAUUCGAUCUUACUCGACGAGUUGGGUCUUCAACUCGUCGAGUCCAAGGGUAAAAUUAUAAAAUUGACUUAAUUAAAUGCAUACCUGGAACCGGGUGUUAAAACUCUCCCCCACUUUCCUUAGACUUCGUCCUCAAAGUCUGCUGUCUCUAAAAAUAACUCGGGGGUAGUGCCUCCUCAUAUCUUCCUCAGGCUCCGACGUCCACUCUGAACCCUUGUGGGGAUGCCACUGCACUUUAACUAACUCUACCUUUUGUUCCUCAGCUCCUUCGUUUUACACUCCAAAAUCACCAUCGGCCUCUCGGUAUAGUUCAGGCUAUCAUCAACCUAAAUGUCCUCAAGGGGUACCACCGCAGAAUCGUCCACUAGGCACUUCCGCAACUGCAUAACAUGGAAUGUGUUGUGGAUCUGGUUGAGCUCUGCUGGAAGAUAUAGCCGAUAAGCAACCCGACCUACCCGGGCCCGAACUCUAAAUGGACCAAAAAACCUGGGGCCCAGCUUGCCCCGCUUCCGGAAUCUGAUAACACCCUUCCAGGGUGACACUUUCAGGAGGACCAUAUCACCCACCUGAAACUCUAAGUCCGAACGCCGCUUGUCGGCGUAACUCUUCUGCCGACUCUGAGUAGUCUGGAGCCUGCUCCAGACUUGCUGAAUCAGCUCCGUGGUCUUGAGUACCACCUCCGUACUCCCCAUGAUCCUUUGACCAACCUCUCCCCAGCAGAUUGGGGUCCUACACUUCCUCUCAUAGAGCAUCUCAAAGGGAGGCCGGUCUAUACUGGAGUGAUAGCUGUUGUUGUAAGAAAAUUACACUAACGGAAGAUACGUAUCCCAACUGCCCCCAUGGUGAUGUCUUCCCAUUUCCACACGUGACUGUCGAGCGGCUACAUCUUGCCGUGGGGCCUCUGGUGCUCUGCCUUGACCUUCCUGCAGGUCAGGCAUCGCUCCACAUACCACGCUAUAUCCCGCUUCAUACAGGGACACAAAUAAUCUGGGCGAAGAUCCUGAUGCAUCUUCGUCGCCCCGAGAUGGAUGGAGAAUCUGGAUUUGUGGUCUUCAUCCUUCAAUAUCUGUCGUACCCUCCCCAGUAGGGCACCAGACCCUCCUAUGCAUGGUCAAUGGUCAAUGUUUAGGCUGGGGUAGCCUUUAUCAGUUAGACACUUAGUUGGAGCCUGGUGGUGAGACCAGGUGUGAGAAUGUUAGUCUCAAUGGUCGAUUGGGGAUUUGAUAUCACGGUUUAGUGGAAGGUUACCGUGGAAUCAAAAAAUUCCGGAUAGAUUUCAAGUGUAGAUCUUUAGAUUUCGAGAUAUGAGUUAUGCACCGGGUUGGAAAAUGGACGAGACUCGCGUUGGGAGUCGUCUUUGUAUAUAUAUUUAAAAGAUCUUUUCUUCAGCAAGUUGUGGGUAAGGAAUCUGCAUGCCAAAGGUAUUAGUUGGAUAAUUCAGGAUCAAAAGGUUGUUUUUCAGUUCAGAUUACAGUAAGAGGUACUAGUGAUUGUAUUUCGGGAUGGUCCUACCUGUGUGGAGGUCAGGUGAAGUCUCGGGUAUUUUGGAAUUAUAGCAGUGAGGUGUUGGUGUGUCAGUUUGUGGGUUGAUAAUUGUUCACCAUUAGGGUGUAUGAGUUCUAUUAAAUUUGGGUUUCAGUGGAGAAUGUCGACCACGAUGUAGCAAAGAGUUUUGGGCCGCAGGGGUUUAAUGAACCACCACGACAUGGUGAUUUUGACAUGACAUGGUGAUGGAUGUUGGGGAAAAGCUCUAAAGUUAAGGGAUGAACCCUAUUUAAAGAUCCUUAACCCCUCCUAGCCUCCCUCCCAUCAGCCUCCGUCCCUCCAAAUCCUCCCUUGCAAACCCUAGACCACUUGUGUGAAUUUUUGGCAUUAAAGAGUGUAGAGGUGGUGGAAGAUCAAUUGGGGAGUGAAAAGCAAAGAAGAUCCAUGAGCUUUCCUUCCUCUGGCAUUUCAAGGAGGUAUAAAGUCUUCACCUUGUUGAGUUAGUGGAUAGAUCUAUGGAUUUUCUCACUUUUCUCUACGUUUUGUUGCCUUGGAUGGGUGAACUUCAUAGAGUUUGCAACUUUAUGAAUCUCUAGGCCUUUUGGAGCAUUUGACUCUUAGGAUCUUGUAGCACCCGAUUCCUGGUAUAUAUUUUACUCAAAUAUAUUUCUUAUUUUGACCUGGGACUCAGAGAGUUGGUGACCCAACUCGUCGAGUAGAAGCGAAUUGGACACGGGAGUUAAGUGAGCGACUCGACGAGUCGGCAACCGGACUUGAUCCUUCCGCACUGUCUGGACAAAACCCUAAUUUAAGGGGGUUUACACCCUAUUUAAACGUCUCAUUCAGCCCCCUUCGUCUCUAUUGCCCUCAGAGCUCUCUAUAACCAAAACCCUAACUGUUUGUGUAAUAUAAGGCCAUUUUGGUGCUUGUGGUUGGUUUGUGAAGCUUUAAAGGGAGGAAGAAGCUUGGAAAUUCGAGUGGGGGCUUGUAGAUCCAGAGAUCUUAUUCCAUCUUCAGCUCAAGCAAGGUAAAUGCCCCUGUUUUGGUCUUUCUUUUGAUUGUUCGUCUUUAGGGCUUAGAUUUUGGGUGCAUUUAGGGCUUUCUAAGCCAUUUUCGGAUUUGUGAUGUGAUUCAUGGAGUUCUACUUUCAGAUCUGAGUCAUUGGAGGGGUCUCAUGGCAUAAAGGUGCCAACUUUAUGGCCAUGAGAGCCCCAUGCACAUUGUAGAGCACCUUUUAUGGAUUUUUGAGCCAAAAAACCCCAUGCAUGUACGCCAUGUUUGGAACUCCAUGAAUCACACCAAGUUUGGAACUUUACGUAUAAAAUGGACGUUAGGAGACAAAUCUAUGGUUUUGAUGUAUUAAGACCCAUUUAAAUCGACUGUAUAGUAUUGGUCAAGGAUAGACUCGCCGAGUUGUUCUUGGGACUCGACGAGUCGAGGCGUAAUGACCACCGAAUCCAUUUUGUGAAUAGACUAGUUGUUAGGGAGGGGAGUCCCGUAGAUGUUUAGAUGCGAAAAAGGACCUGACAACCAUGGGACUCGACGAGUGUAUGAACAUUGUCGACGAGUCCAAGGCAAUCUCCCAACAUUUGAAGAUGAAUUCGACGAGUUGUUCAUAUAACUCGGCGAGCCAAGGGCAUGACUUGUUCAUAGGAUGGUAAUGAACUCAACAAGUUGUUCAUACAACUCGGCGAGUCGGAUGAAGGCUCAUUCAGAGUUAUUUUAGAAGGAGAAAUCGUCAAGUCGUUGUCAAACUUGACGAGUUGAGGCGUGAAGAAGGCCAGAUGAAAGGAUAAGGACUCGACGAGUUGGCGGCCCAACUCGGCGAGUCGGGUCAACUGGAAGUUGACUUUGACUUUGACUUUGAUUUGACUUGGUCAAGGGUAAAAUAGUUAUUUUACCCUAAGAGUAGUUAUCAAUGUCUGAUUUAGUGUUUUAUGGAUUUAUAGCCGGAGGAUUUCCGGAGCAACAACAGACAGAGAUUUCCCGCACAGAUUAUCAGCAACUACUCAUUCGAGGUGAGUUACCUUCCAAUAGCGGUGGGUCUACGGCCACAAUGCUGGGCCACUAGUAGGAGUUGUAUGAUAGAUGAUCGUAUUUGUGAUAUCGUCUAGGUUUUCUACUACCUGAUAUGCUAUAUGCUGGCAUGAUAUGUUAUAUGUGAUAGUAGUAGAGUUCGGUUGUUAGGACCGAAGGGUAGGUCAGGCACCCGAGAUAUGUCUGACAGUAUGUGACGAUAUGUUUAUAUGCUGGCAUGAUAUUUUAUAUGUGAUAGUGGUGGUAGGAGGGGAGUAGUCCCCAAGUUCGAUUGUUAGGACCAACAGGUAGGUCGGCACCCCAGAAUGGCUUGACAUGGGUAGGUCGGCACCCCAGAAUGGCCGUACCGUGUGGGUCGGCACCCCAGAAUGGCCGUACCGGGUAGGUCGAGCACCCCAGAGUUACUCGGCAGUAUGUAUGCUAUAUGAUUUUAUGGUAUGUGGUACGAUGAGGGAACUCACUAAGCUUCGUGCUUACAGUUUACAAUUUUUGUUUCGGGUACUCCUUUAACGAAGGGGAAGGAGCUGGCGCGGUAGCAGCACAUCAUACACACGCAUUGGUUUCCGCACUUGAGACAUUUUGGGAUUAUGCUCUGACAUGUUACUUUUUUAUGAUUUUGAGUGUUCAGACAUGACAUAUUGACUUACAGAAUGAUAUAUUUUUAUGUAGUUUUCUGAUGAAUGUUUUUAUAAUCAGUUAAUUAAAAUGAAAUUUUUGGACUCGAAAUUUGGGUCGUUACAAGUUGGUAUCAGAGCCCUGGUUUGAGGGAUUCAGACACACCCUCGGGGAUGUCUAGAGUUAAACUGAAGGACUAAAAUAUUUUUACAAAGAAAAUGGUUUUCUAAAAGCUAAGUUAAAAUGUAUUAAGAACAAGGUGUGUGAUGUGCACGACCGGCCGAGCUCAAGUAAGUAUUCCCCAAAGUACCCAUACAAGUUUAUGUUAUGUUUAUCAGAUUUAGUAGAACAACAUGCUAGAAUAGGACUAAGGAUCUAGGAAUGAUGCCUUAUGCGCCUGCUUUAUGUGUUUCAACUUAUGAGAAUCGAAUGCUAGUAUUGAGUAGACAGUAGAAGAAUAGCCUAUUUAGGUUAUGCUUGAUACUACGAGCUUAACAUUGUAUGCUAGUACAGUUUCCUGUUAUGAGAAGAGAAUUGCUUGAGAUCAUUCCCUUUUUUCUGAAUGCUUCUUGGUUUGUGCUUAGUGGGACUAUGCAUGAUAGGAGUUAGCUAUUAGGUGGAUAUGUUAAAGUCACAUGGGAUCAGGGUUGACUAAUCUUAGAGGAUUGGAUAUGCGUGAAGAAAAUUAAACUCUAGAUCGAUUAGAUCUUUCACAGGUAUGAUUAUGGAAAUCGAACAAGACAAAAACAGUAAGAGAAUGAACACAUAAUGGAAUCAAAUGUAUGCUUAUGAUUCAAAUAAAGUCACGCCUAAGCAGAGCUCGAUGAAGAACUUACGCUGUAGAGGCGAGCUAGGGUUUACAAAACUCAAAGAAAAUAAAUGAUAAAAGCGAUAACUUCUAAGACUGCAUGCAUGCAACUUAUAUACUAAACCCUAGAAUAAAAACAUGCACGGUUGGACAGGCCCAAUACCGGCAAUCAAAACUGGGCUAAGGACCGAGCCCAUUACGCAAUCUAAUAAUCCCAACAAUCUCCCCCUUUGCGUCAAAUGAGGGGAGAGAUCAUUUCUUCUGGGUUGGCUUCACUGUCUUUAUUACUUUAAACAGAUGAGGAAUUAUUGCGAGAAGAGUCUGUCAAAACUAUAUGUACCACCUCAGCAUGUCAGUGAAUAACUUCUUAUCAGCAGCACUGUUUUGAUCACACCUCUGAAUGAUCUCCAAGAUGUGCUCUAGGAAAGACGUUGAGAAGAGGUGUUUGUCAACGAGAGCGAACAGACAUUUCUGACCUUCGCCUCUGAUGAACAUAAUAGUGUGGUACUUUGAAUCUAUCUUCCCCUUGACCAUAGUGUUGACAUUGCCUGCUCUGCCCAUAGUCUUUAUUGUCGUUUGCUUGUGAAUGGCAGAGGCAAUCUCCUAGUCCAUAUUCGCUACCUCGUGAAUGUAGCAUACAAGCAUACACUUGGGAUGAUCAAUUAUUGGAUGGUACUCCUGAGGAUUUGACAUUAAUAAACUUCCCCGCUGGGUAGGGCUUUAGAACCUUGACAGUAGUAAUUUUCUUGGAACUCCAGGUCAAGUACUAAGGUUGAGCAAACUCCAAAUAAAACUCCAAAAGAUCCUUAUCAACCUUCGGGUCCGGGGAAGGAAUUGUUGGGUUUUGAGCAUUCUAACACUCCUAAGUGUGCAUGCAACCCUAAAUACCUUGGAUCUAUGUUUUCUCUAUUAUACAUGCAAAUAAGAACUUCCAAGGUAUUAUCCUAAUCUAGCAUACAAAACAAUAAUGUAACAAGAUAGAAUACAUACCUCUUGAUGUAGAAAGUCUUCAUGAAGCUUGAGUGCUUAGUGCCCCAAGUGUGACACCUCAAAUGGAAUCACAAUCAUCAAAACACUUAGAAUGACUUGAGAGAAUUCUACACUCACCAAAAUCGGCUAGCCCUUUCUUGAAUACUACUAGUGGCCGAUUUUUCCUCAAUAAUAAGAUGCUUAUAUAGUUACACAAUUAGGGUAAACUCUUAAUUGUCAUGGCUUUCCAUUUCCUUGGAUCCAUGGGUACAAAUACACCAUGGAGCAUCCAUGGACCAUCCUAUGGGUUUUAGCCCAACUUGAUUAUCCAUGGAGCAUUAGCCCACUAUACAAGUAUGGAUGAUUUACACAAUCAACCCAUAUAUUUAAUUAGUCUUCUUUUGAUCACUUAAUUAAUCCUAGAUUAAUUCUUGAUCAAUACUAAUUAAAUAAUCUUAUUAUUCUUAUUAUUAAUAUACUAGAACUUAUAAUAUAUUAAUAACCAUAAGUGUCUUAUUUCUCUCAUUAUAGUCUAUCCAAGUGCAUGAUGGUAUGCAACCCAAAUGGACCAUGCCGGGUCGGGUCAAGUCUUACCAAUUAUAGUUAUGGACUUAGACAUUAAUCCAACAGUCUCCCACUUGGAUAAGUCUAAAACUAUUAUUGCGUAUGACUUCAGGAACCAACUGGCAAUCGUAGCUCUCAAAAGCUUCUGUCGAACUCUGACCUUGUAGAUGAACUCUGACCUUUGUCAAUGACUUGUCCAUUAGAUAAGGGAUCAUAUAUUCCUCCAUUCUAGAUAUCAUAUGGACUGAGACAUGGAUUAUAAUCAUUCUCUCUGUCCAUUUGUUGUUUCCCGAUUUCCGAUUUAUGACGACUGACUAAUUGAACAAAUCAAAUCAGUCCUGGCCCGGCCGAGCACUUCCAUUUGUCAUCAUCAAAUCAUCGAGGGGCCCACAGAUAUCGCUUUUAUCCCGAAGGUAAAAGGAAUGGAUAAACUUCGACUCAUAUGGCUUGUUCUACUACUUGUUGAAUCAUACACAAAGGCACGUUUUAUAGCACCGAGUUACCAAAUGCGUUUUCGUGCAAUCAAUGUACUAUCAACUCAUAGUAACAACUCAUAUCUCUAGGUUUGAAGAAUAUAAGAUAUUAUCGUCUCAUGAUCACUCGUGAUAAAAUCCAUGAAGUGAUUCCAAUGAGCGCGGGUUGAAUCCAAUACUCAGAACUUAUGAGCACUCAUGAGUGUUGUAGCCCUUUGUCCAACACCUUAGACCUCUACAAGCCAACCCAUGACAGUCUUAAUUCAUAUCUACUUCCAACAUAUGACCGACUGUGGAUGGUUUGAAUAACUUAGUCAUUCCGGAAGAAUAACCUAGUUUAUUCGGGAAGUCAAAACAUGCAAAGUGAAACACAAUAAUAAUUGAAUCCAAUAUGGUAUCAAAACCUAUGAACAUAAAUAAAACACCUUUUAUUUAUCACCAUAUGAUUACACAUUAUUCAUUGUAUACUGUUUCAGCUAUCAACUUUAUUCUUGAAUUUAAAACAAUAGUUGUCCCAUGCUCCAAGCAUGUACACUAUGUUUUCUAAACACUAGUCAUGCCAUACACCAAGUAUGCAUACUAUGUUUGUCUAUGAUCUUUACUUUGUGAAAUAGAUCAAUUGAACAUAACUCCAAUGAUUCUCUUUUCACAGUCCCAAAUCCUUACUGCAAAUGCAAGAAUUCCAAAUUCAUGCCAUUUACUGAAAUCUGUUAGAUUCUAAACUUAUAUGCAUUGAUCCUCUUGUAAUGAUUAUGCACAAAGUCAUAAAGACUUGACAACAAACAUUACAGAGCAUUCCAAAGGAGAUCAACUCCUUGGAAACAUCCUUCUUGCAUUAAGUUUCCUUAAUCUUACACAGAUUGAAAAUUCUAACUUUGAAACAUUUCUAGAUUCCAUUUUGACUAUCACUUAUGAACAAGAGUUGCCUCCUUACAGAUUAUGUCAAUAUGGUCCUUCCAGAAUUAUCACUAUACUUCCAACCGUCCUUGAGCAACCAAUCAUUGGUAAACCUUAGAUUGUCCUCGACAGUUGUUUAAUCCUUUUAGUCAUAUCCAGUUCUAAACCUUUUCCCUUCUUAAUGCCCCAGGCAUUUGGAAAAUUUUAGAAGGAUGAAUAUAGCACAUGUAAUCGAUCCUAUAUCCGAAGCAUAUGGGACACGAUUCAUGAUGUCUCACAUAAAGACUAAACCAGUCUUUUGCUAUAAUAUUUCCAUUUCAAUUUAUCAAGUUCUCAUAAUUCAGAUUAUGAAAAGGGAUGCCGUAAUCAUAAUCGAAUUUUAGAACGCAAACAGUGGACCCAGAUAUAGAAUUUCCUUAUGUUGAGCCAUUCCAACAUGAAAUUCAUAUAUAUACCCUUGACUAAAUACGAUUAAACCCUCAAUCUACGCUUUUAGAUUGAGAUGAAGUAUAAUUUCCUCUCCCUUAUUUAUAGCAAACAACAUUUUCCCAAUUGAAACCUUUUGUUUUCUAUAAUUAACAUUGCUAACUUGCAAUACUUAUCAUAAUUAUCAUGCUCCCACUAACAUGAUGAUUAUUAGCAUAACACUUAUGCUCCCACUAGCUUUGACAUGUACUCAGAAAUCAGCUGGACUUCUAGAAAUCAAUACUUCAUUGACUUUCUUACCAAAGUUCAGAUUUCUGAUACUAGAUUGUUUUGAUAAAACUUUAUCAAAAUCAUACACCUUCCCUUAGAUAGCACACUUGUGUGUCUAAACAAUUAUGAAGAGGGAUGCCGUAAUCAUAAUGGUUAGACCUUUUUGCCACUUCUCACAAGUCCAGGUUAGUGUGCCGGUAAACCACACACGCUCCACUAACGACUUUGAGAAUGCAAAUAUCACAAUUGCUAUCUAGCUAAAAUCUACUUAGUGAAAGUGUUUCCUCACCAUCAUUUUCAUGAAUCGGAGAGAAACCUUAUGACACUUAGAUUUAAUGGUGUAUGUGUUCUUAUCCAUGUGAAUUGUCAAAAUCAUAGUCACAAGACAAGGAUAAUGACAAAUCCAAACUCAUAUGGAUUGAACUCAAUCUUAAUUUCUUGCCACCUGGCAGCUCAAGGGCCUGCCAUUGCUUCCAAGUUGUUGUGCAACAAAUUGAGAACUCUAAGAACUCAUAUGCAAAGCCAACUUUAACUGGAAUGGGCACAGAAUAUGUCAACACGAUAGGUUAUAAACCUCAAGUCGUGUGCUAGUGAAGAACUUCAGGUUUUAUUCUUGAUUAGUUCUUGAGACUUUCAAGACCUUUAAGACUCCCACUGUCCUCUUGACCUAUAAGACUCCCUUGUCAAAUAUCCAAGAGAUAGUGUGGAUUCUAAUCAAGACAAACACUUCACACAAUUGGCCUAAGUUGGUCUUUGUUUUAUCCAAAACAUCACAACUUACCAAUUUCAAAUGUACAAGAGUAGAAAACUUUUACUCUUACAUUUGACAAGUGUUUUAAACCUUCUUUAAGACAUGUCACUCAAGUUACAAUCUUGGAGUAUGACUCUAAGACUUGUAUUGGAACGAAGUAUGACUCAUCUUCUUGAUUUAACCAUUUCAACAAUUCAAGAUCCCUCUUCUUAGUCAUAAGAAUGCACUAAGAUUUCCUUAGAGAACUAAUUGUGCUAUGGUUUCUUAAUCAUUAAGAUGAUCACCAAAACUGAUACUAAAGUACUCUCCCAUCUUUUCAGAUUUGAGAAACUUUUAUCCUUCUGCCUAAUUUGAUUCUUCUUAUUCGCUCUGCCAUACAUUGGAACCUUUUCCAAUGUCUCAGAGUUACACUUAAGCUUGUAAGUAUAAUCAUAUUUACUGAGCUUUUGUAAACUAUGACGAAUAGUUUUAUCAAUCUUUUGUGGUGGACUUGACCAGUGCACAAGAAUGUGUACUCGAUCCCUUAGUCCUUCACUUGACUCACACAUCCAUGUGAACAAGUAAUUAGUCUUAAUUUUCCAAUACUUGAAAGUUCUCAUUCAUCAUGCUAUACAACUUGCAUGAUUCCAAGUUCCGGUCCAAAUGAAACUUGGGUGAUGAGAAUUUUUCCUUAUUUGGUAAAUUUAGACAUUACCACAAAUGAAAGAAUCAAUUUCAUAUUUCCACUCUUGUUAUUAAUGGAAUCUUAUAAGAAACAAAAUUUUCCACAAAUGCCAUUGUAAGGAUAUUUUUAAAAUAAAUAAAAUCAAAAUUUUCCUUUUAUUUUAAAACUUUGCGGAAAAAUUAUCCUUACAGUGCAAAAGCACAUGAAAACAUUGUUGCUAUCCAUUCCUAAGCAAUAUAUCAUAACUCCUAAGAAGUAGCUCAAGAAUCCGAUCUUCAAACCAUGCGAUAGAAAUCCAUCUACGCGAACAGAUUCAACAUAUUGUUUCUUUAAGUUUCUUCACUUUUUCUUUGAUUCUUAAACAUCAACAUGUGACCCAGUCACAUCAUGUAUCAAGAAUCUCAUAAUGGAAACUUAGCAGAGUUAGAUAGUGGACUUUACCUGAAGUAGAGUCAAACUUAUUGACUUUAACACCCUUAGGUAAAUUUGGCAGCUUUGUAACUAGUGCCCCUUCCUUUGGCAAUAUAAACAUAUGGACCCUUUGGUAAUGGUACUAUCUCAGACUUAGCUUUUCUCUUUACCAUUUGGUCAACCAAGUUGACUAUGGUCAAUCCCUUUCCUUAGGAAGACAAUGCUUUUUCUGGAUUUCCAGUGUCACCAUUGUCAAUGUCCAUAAGGUUUUAGGAAGUUGAUCUUAGCAAAGAUCAUUAAGGGUCUUGUUAUAGUAUAUUUCAUAGGAAUCCCAAAAGAACUCACUAUGUGACUUAGAAGGUGAUUGAGCCACCAACUUUCUCAAGACUUUGACACCCAACUCUCCCAGCUUGUCAAUAUGUGACUACAUCUCCAAGAUGUGACCACACCUAGACCUUGCCUUUCCAAUAGGGCUUGAGUGACCUUAAACUUUUCAAGAACUUGUGGGUUAGGGAGAAUAAUUGGGGGAGGCGAAUGAAGUAUGAUUUCCAUGGGACAUCAUCUUCAUUAGGAAACCUUGUUUCAAGAGAUUUGGGAAGAUCAUAGGUGUCUAAACCAGACAUCUUUUGGGAGAUAUUCAAGAUAGUUGAUUUAAAGUCCUUAAUAUGACACCCAAUAUGAAAUAUUAAGGCUAGGACCCAACAAACUAUUUUAUAACUUAGAAGAGGUAUGCCGUAAUCCAAGCUAUAAAAUAUUUGAAGGUAGGUGAAUGACGAUUCACCAAUUUCCACCAAGAUAAACGAAAUGUAUUAUUAGGUUUUAAUUGGUUUUGAAACUCCUAGAUCUUUGAGAUUCAUUGAACUUUUCAAAGGCAUGUUUCAAUCUCGAGUGUGCCCUUCAGGUUUUGUGACUGGGAUGCCGAGGAUCACAAAACAAGGUGUGAAGUAACCAUGCAAAUCACUUGGUACCCUUAAUAAAUUACCCCUCAAUCGAUGUGCCGGUUAACCACACACGCUCCAUCGAUACUAUGAUAAAUAUUAAGUCACCCUUUACCUACCUUGUUAAGUCCAAGUUAGUGUGCCGGUUAACCACACACGCUCCACUAACGACUUAGACAAAGUGUAAAGUGUAAUUUCAUGGAUUAGCACCUUAUUCACAUUUUUCCUAAGUAACUAAGAUUGGGUAUUAUUAAGAGUUUAGUUACUUAGUAUUAUCAUUAAUACUUUUAAUGAAGGGAGAAUUCUAGUCCUGUCAAACCCGUUCGGCUAACGACCCUCCACCAGUCAAGCAAGCGGUGGGUGAGAGUGGACACCCAUUAAGUUGCCAUUUUAUAGGCAACAACCUUAUACCCACCUUAUAGACCGGCUUCGUGAAUGAGGCGUACUAGCGGUAAGACUGACUUUACUCUUAUACAUAUAUAUAUUAUUAACUUAUAAUAUUAUAAAGUAUAAGGGUUGAAUUUUAACUUUUAAAAUUCUAAGGGCUAACUUGGAAUUAAAGUAUUCAUAAGUGAAAACUUUUCAAAUUCCAAAACUUGAGGGCAAGUUUUGAAACUAUUCAAAACUAAUUAAUUCCAUAACUUAUGUGUUUAAAGUAGUUUUAAUCCAAAAACUCUUCAAGUUCCAUAACUUGAGGACAAGUUAUGGAAGACUUUAAACUAAUAAAAGAAUUAACUUUUCUUUAUUUUAUAACUUAUGGAAUUAAUUAAGGUUACACUUUAUUUAUUUAUUUAUUAAUGAAGUGACUCUUGAACCUCCAUAACUUAAGGACAAGACUCUUCAUUUUUUGUAACCUUUGCCAACUUUUAUGAGUUUUAUGAAACUUAAAUGUGACUUUUCAUAUAACUUGAGGACAAGUUACAAAAACACAUUUUAGAAUCAACUCUUAGAUUAAUUUGGAUUGAAAACAACUAUUUCACUCAACUUUUCUAUUAAUCUAAGCAACUCAUAAGAACAAGAUAAUUCAAAUCAAACUUUUUCAUGUAAUUAGUCUAAACCUUAAACUAAUACAAAACAUGAAUCUAUUGACAAUUAUCUUUGAAAUUGGAUUAGCAUGAACAUUACCACAUCAAAAACAAGUUUAUAAGUUCAAAAACAUCUUAGGGUAAUGUUCCUAGUCCAAUUCCAGCCAAAAAAGUCGAAUUUAUGCUGUCUGGGGGUCCAACUCGUCGAGUGCAUGAACCAACUCGGCGAGUUGGAUCGAAUUCAUCACUUUUUAGGCAUGGACUCACCGAGUCUCCUGAUGGACUCGCCGAGUCUGAUGAUCAGACAGCACCAAAUUCGUUUUUUCAGCUUCUUUUGCAGGUAUAACAAGAAAACAAGCCUAGGCUCUGAUACCACUGUUGGGUUUUGAGCAUUCUAACACUCCUAAGUGUACAUGCAACCCUAAAUACCUUGGAUCUAUGUUUUCUCUAUUAUACAUGCAAAUAAGAACAUCCAAGGUAUUAUCCUAAUCUAGCAUACAAAACAAUGAGUGUAACAAGAUAGAAUACAUACCUCUUUGAUGUAGAAAGUCUUCAUGAAGCUUGAGUGCCUAGUGCCCCAAGUGUGACACCUCAAAUGGUUCACACAACACCAAAUACACUUGGAAUAACUUGAGAGAAUUCAUUAAUUCUACACUUCAUGAAAAUCGGCUAGCCCUUUCUUACUCUCUCUAGUGGCCGAUUUUGGUGAAUAAUAUGAUGCUUAUAUAGUGUUACAAUUAGGGCAAACCCUAAUUGUCAUGACUUUCCAUUUCCUUGGAUCCAUGGGUACAAAUACACCAUGGAGCAUCCAUGGACCAUCCUAUGGGUUUUAGCCCAACUUGAUUAUCCAUGGAGCAUUAGCCCACUAUACAAGUAUGGAUGAUUUACACAAUCAACCCAUAUAUUUAAUUAGUCUUCUUUUGAUCACUUAAUUAAUCCUAGAUUAAUUCUUGAUCAAUACUAAUUAAAUAAUCUUAUUAUUCUUAUUAUUAAUAUACUAGAACUUAUAAUAUAUUAAUAACCAUAAGUGUCUUAUUUCUCUCAUUUUAGUCUAUCCAAGUGCAUGAUGCCAUGCAACCCAAAUGGACUAUGCCGGGUCGGGUCAAGUCUUACCAAUUAUAGUUAUGGACUUAGACAUUAAUCCAACAGGAAUAACAGUAGUCAAAUUGAAGCAAUGGAAGAUAAAUGCCUUUCGUGUGAUUGGCAUAUCGAACUGUGCAUCCUUGGAAUUGUCGAGCCCAAAGGACAUUACUGGCUCAAGCCAGAGAAUGCUUGGCUCAUCGAUUGCGCAUCGUUGAAGCGGAUCUAUAGUUCAGACAUGAAAAAUGGGAUUUUUCUUCUCUAGGAGCUCCGCUUCCUUUCGCUUCUACUCUAGCUCAGCUUUUUGUUUCUUGUAACUUUCUUCCAUUUCCUUUUCAGAGGGAUUUACCUUCUGAAAGGGAUUCUUGGGAUUCUCGGCAUAGACAUCAUCCUCAUUGUCUGUGUCAUCCUCGCCAAUUUUCUUCUUCUUUUUCUCCUUGUUACUGACCGAAGCUUCAUUACCCUUCGGUUCAGUAGAUAGUUUCGGCCCAGAAGGAGAUUGAGUUGUCACCUUCUCUCCCCCUUGUUUCGGUUGGACCCCAGUCACCGGAACACCCUCGAUACGACUAAAGAUGUCCAAUGCUGGUCUGAGCUUGUCUACCAGAUAGCGCCUGAUGGUUAUGGUGAUGAUGGGAUCGUGAGCCUCAAUGAGAUGAAGGAGGAUGGAGUGAAAAUCAGCAACAGAACUCCGAAUGACCUCCUUUUCUGACUUUAGGUCAAUAACCUAAGCAGUAGCAGUACGCAGCUUGUGGUUUUGCAGUUUGAGCUGUGAGGUGCGCCUGUCUAGCUCAUCCAUAAUACGAUUCUCUACAGCUAACUCAGCCUCCAGUUGAUUCAAUCGUUCAUUGUCGUUAGUGUGUAAAGAUUCGUUUGCUGCUUCAAUGGCCUGGCGUGCAACUUCAAGAUUGGAACGUUCAGAUUGAAGAGACCGUUAAAGGUUCUCCACCGAAGCGUUGACGGUUUGAGUGUUCUUUGCAGCAGCAGCCUGCAAGGAAUCUAAAAACUGGUGAGCUUCAAAAACUAGUUUAUCGACUUUUGCAGUCGCUUCCUUGUGCUCCUUAGUAGAAGCAUCAACAACAUGAGAGGCUUGUUGACAUUGUGAAGUAGAGGCUUCAAUUGCUUUAGCUGCAACAGAUAGCAUGGCACUGUGUUAUGUAACAACAGAGGAGAACAAGGCCUUCAAUGCAGCUUCAGAAUAAGCUCCGGAGGAAGAGGAUGAGAGCAGUUGAUCAAGCUUUUCAUUUACUGCCUUGAGAUGACGCUUUGUAACAUGCUCAUCGUCAUCAUCAUCAUCACUCUGCACCUGGUAAGGACUGAAAUACGUGGAAUCAAAUUCCAAGUCCUCACCGCCUAGAAUAGGGGUUGUUUCGGUUGAUUGAGUAGGAGAUAAGGGUUUGGUUGUGGUUGGAGGUUUGGUAGUGACUGGUGGUUCGGUUGUUACUGGUGGAUUGGGACCAGUAAAGUGAGCUCCUAUGGUAGUAGUGGUAGUAGUGGUAUCUAUGAAAAUGGGAGUAGGGAUGGGAAUUGUAUUGGAUGGUUGAGUGGUUGGAAUGGGAAAUAUAGGAGGGAUGGAUACUGGGAUGGUUACAGGUGAGGGUGAAGGAGGGUUAGAGCGAACUGAAAUUUAUGGGGUAGGGGAGCGAGGCGGAGUAUCACCUCGGCCCGAAGCCUCAUCAUCAGAGCUUUCGUUCUCAGAUUCUGAAGGAGGAGCGUUCUUAUGCUUAGGAGGGACAUACUUUGAAUCUGAAUCACUUGAGGAUUAUAGAAUAAGCCUCCUAGCAGGCUUCUUCUGCUUCUUCGGUUGAGCCUGUGAAGUUGCAGCCUUAUCAGACUUUUGCUUCUUGGGGGUUUGCCCUUUGGUUGGUUUAGAGACAGGUCCUUCCUUCUGAUUAUCAGUCUUCUUACCCCUUUUGGCUGGCUUGUCAGCCUCUUCAAUAGAGCGAACCAUGGCUAGCGUAAGCUCCCUUGGACCGGAUGAUGGAUACUUCCUGUAUUGUUGGAGAACAUUACUCGACGCAGAGAUACGACCGAGCAUUGCUUCAGGAAUGGAUCCAAUAAAGGAGUACUUGGUUGGAUCUGUGACAAUGAUUUUGGUAGUGUGAAAGGUAGCAAUGGAUGAGAGAAGAGAAUCUGCUAUUAUUGGAACACGAAGGCGGUCCAUUGCCAUGUUGGUGAUGAUCGACCAAAAUCGCCUACAUGAAAUCUUAGAAUGCCUGGAUGAAGAGACCAAGCUUUGAACCAACUGCUGCCAGAUAAUAGACCCAUAAUCUAAGUCGAUCCCAUGGUACAGACCAUACAACACAGUCAUAAAAGACUUGCUCGCACCAUCUAAGCCAGCACUUCGCUCAGAAAGUCCCUUGAACAGCAACCUGAAAAGGCCAUUCCAUUGAGCAGGAAGGCAGGACUUCUUGAACUUUGUGAUUGUGGUGAGGGUUUUGGUAUACCCCAUCUGAUAGAACAUGGAAAAUAAUUGACCAGUGGUGAUGGAUUCAUGGUUUACCAGAGAUUGUUCUUGAGAAUGACCAAUUAGGGCACAUAAUCGAUGCUUGGAGAUAGAGGUCUUCUCAUCGUGGAGUUCGAAGUGAAUCCUUUCAUUAACCUUGUUGUAAUAGGCAGUAGAGUAGACAAGGGAAAUGCAAUACAUUGGUACGACUUCGACUUUAGUCAUUGCCUCGACGAGAGGUGAGUAUUUGAGACACUCAACAACGUAUAACAUGAAUGGAUGAUAGAUAAACGAGGUGAGAUCGAUGAUCAGGUUCUGUUGGGGUUUGAUUGUGAGAAGUGGUUGACGAACGGAUGUAUCAUGAACGGAUGAAGAGUCGGCCAUUGUAGUAGCUUUGAGAAGAUGAUGAACAGUUGCAAAAAUCGCCUGUUUUCUUUGAGAGAGAAUGGUAAGUGGUAAAAGUUGAGAGAGUACCGGUCCAAUUCCUUUUAUACGUACAAGGAAGAGAGAGAAAAAUCCGGCUGACAUCUUGGAUUAUCUCAAAAAUAGCGCAUGACUUGAUGGAUGAACAGUUGGCAUGCCGAUGAUGACGCAGGAAAGAGAAAGGACAUUUCCUUUUUACACGCCAUUCCAUAAAAUUCACUUUUUGAAAUCGCCAAACCAUUUGGAUAACCGCUGAGUCAGCAUUCACUUUAUCCCAAUCGUCAUUCCAAAAUGCGUUUGAAUCUCCGUUGCUUAUAGUGCUUUAUGGAAUAGUCAUAAAAGAACUUGAGUGUGGAAAAUUAAAAAUUUUCGUGCAUAGGGUGUAAAAGAUAAAUAAAUAAAGCAAAAUUUAUGGGAUAAUCUGUGAUGCCUUAAGUAGACAUAAAACUAUGGAUUCUAGGCAUAAAUCACUUCCUUCAAAGUCAAGAGAGACAUUAAAGUGCUUUCUUGGUUUCCCAUUAAAUAACAAUCAAUAACUUGUUAAGAAGUAUUGAAAGGCAUCUUUUGAAGGUUAUAAAGGGUGACUUUCGCUUCAAUUCAUCAUUUCGGUACUUGACAUAAGACCGAAACUGAAUGAAGUACUUGUGAGAUCAUUGAGAUCUGUUGAACAAGUAGGCAGGAUAAAUUUUGUAGUGACGAAAGGAAGUAAGGAAAUCUCAAAAAAAAUAAACUAGAUCUUCAGGGUAAGAGAAGCCUUAGUGAAAGACAAACUCAUAAAGAUCACUCAAAAAUAAAAAGAGACUUCAUUUGGUAACAAGUAAGAUCUUGAAUAUUAGAAUUCACCGUCAAUUCAUUAGUGGUGUUGAACUUUGGGUUUCGCUUAGUACAUAGUGGCAUGAAACUAAGAUCAUGAACACAAAUUUUGUAUAAUCGUAAACCUCAGUGGUUGAUACUGAGAGUCUCAGGGGUUAUAUUGGUGAAACGAAUUAUAAUGGAGAAAGGUGAUGGAGAUGGUAUAAGAAGAGAAUGUACCUCUGCUUUAAAGAAAAGAAUGAUCAAACAGAAAACCCUAAACUCAAUUUGAGUAGAGUAAGGUAGCUCAUGAUUAGAGUGAACUUGACAACCUAGAUUGCGAAAACAUGAUUGGUGUAUAUCAUGUUAUUAAGGCUUCACUCAAAAAUCAUUCGAGGCUUUAGUCAACAUACAGCAGCAUGCUUCUAGGGACUCCUAACUAAUAAAACCAUUUACCUGCCUUAGCUUUGCCAUAGAGAAUCACACUUAGACAAAAAGAUAAAAACUUUAGAUAUAUAAGAUAAAUCAAAUAAAAAAAAUAUUUUUGAAUUUUGUGAGAAUUGACCAAUUAAACGAAAGAGAAAAAUAUUUUUGGAUUUCAUAAGAGUUUUUAUGAGAAUAAAAGAGAAAAAUAUUUUUGGAAUUUUAUAAGUAGAAAAGAAGUAAAGAAAAAAUGUACAAAAGAAUACAGUUAAAAUGCCUUGUUAAGAAAAAGAAGCAAACGAGUUCAGAAGGACCGAACCCGAAAUAGACCGAACGUUUGGUUCAUUUCGGUUCAUGGUCGAACUUAACCUGAAAUAGACCGAACGUUCGGUUCAUUUCGGUUCAUUUCGGUUCGCUCUAUUUCGCUUGUUACCUUUACGGAAGCGAAGGCGAUUUCGGUACAGAUUUGGCUUGCAUCUUUCCUAGGCCUUGUAGAAUCUUAUUGAAGCUUGCUUCAGGUAAGGCCUUCGUGAAUAUAUCUGCCAGUUGAUCAGUCGUUCUGACGAAGUGAAUUUCUACGUUACCAUCUUCGACGUGAUCCUUGAUGAAGUGGUACCUCAGUGUUAUAUGCUUAGUCUCGAGUGUUGCACUGGGUUGUGACAAAUCCUAAUUGUGAUUUCAGAGUCGCAAUAUAGUGGGAUUUUAUUCAUGUUUAGCCCAUAAUCCCUAAGUUGGCUUUGUAUCCAUACGACUUGAGAUGUGCAUGAUGCUGCAGCAAUGUAUUCAACUUCUGCAGUGGAAAGCGAAACAUAGGUUUGUUUCUUCGAUUGCCAACUGACCAAUUUACCAUCUAGAAAUUGACAUCCUCCAGUGGUGCUUUUACGAUCUAAUCCACAGCCACCUAAGUCAACAUCUGAGAAUGCUUGAACAAAGAAUCCUGAGUUGGCUGGAUACCACAGACCGAGAGAAGAGGUUCGCUUCAGAUAGCGAAAAUAUGUUUUUCACGGCUUGUAGAUGAGGUUCGCAUGGGUUGGCUUGAAAUCUUGCACAGUAACAGACUGAAAACAUGAUGUCAGGUCUACUGGCUGUAAGAUACAUCAGAGACCCAAUCAUUUGUCGAUAGAGCGUCAUAUCAGCUGCUGUUUUCUCCAAUGAGGGUGUAAGCUUUGUUCCAAAGGCCAUAGGCACUUUCACUUUGGAGUCUCCCAUCAUCCCAAAUUUAGCUAAUAGAGUCUUGGUGUAUGCCUCUUGAUUAAUAAAAAUGCCUUCGGGUCCCUGUCUAAUGUUCAAUCCAAGAAAAAAGUUAAUUGGACCCAUUGAGCUCAUCUCAAAUUUAGUUUCCAUCAACUUCCUGAAUUUUGCUGUUAAGCUAGGAUUCAUGGAGCCAAAGAUGAAGUCAUCAACAUAAAUUUGGACUAUCAUAAGGUGGUUACUUUCUCGCUUAUGAAAGAAGGUUGGGUCAACCGAACCUUUUUUGAAUUUGGACAUUUUUAAGAAACGAGUGAGAUUUUCAUACCAUGCUAUGGGAGCUUGUUUUAGGCCAAAUACAGCUUUGUCAAAGACAUAACAAUGAUCUGGAUACUUGUCGUUCACGAAGCCUGGCGGUUGCUCAACAUAUACAGUUUCUUCAAGUUCCCCGUUGAGGAAGGCACAUUUGACGUCCAUCUGAUAGACUUUUAAAGUUUUUGUGAGCUGCAUAGGCAAGAAAGAUACGAACAGACUCUAAUCUUGCAACUGGAGCGAAGGUCUCUUCAUAAUCGAUUCCCUCUUCCUGACAGUAUCCUUUGACCACGACAUUCCCCUCCUUGUCCAUCUUGUUUCUGAAUACCCAUUUGAGACCGACAACCGAAGCAUCCUUUGGAGCUGGAAUAAGACGCCAUACUUUGUUUCUUUCAAACUCAUUUAAUUUAUCUUGCAUGGCGUGAACCCAGUCUGAAUGAUCAAGUGCUGAGUUAACAGUCUUCGGUUUAACUUUGGAAACAAAGGAGCUGAACAUGCAAAAGUCUACUUUAGAAAAGAGUGCAUCCUGUUUUGCUUUGAUUUGAGAAUGAGUUAACACUUUUUCUGAAGAUUCCCCGAUAAUUUGACUUUGAGGAUGAUCUUUGGCCCAUUUGAUAAGUGGAGGGUAAUUUAGAUCAUAAGUGGGAUCCAAUUCGGCAUUUAUUUCUUCUUCUAACUCAGACAUAAUGUCAUCAUCAUUGACGUUGGUGUUCUCCCCCUCGAAGAAUGACUCCUAUUCAGGACCAGUAUUGGUAUUCCCUUAUUUGAUUGGAAUUUCAGUAGAGCUUGAAGAAUGAGACGAUGAGUUCUCCCUAUGGAACGAUGAACCUUGAUCAUGAUGAGGAGUUGGACCCUCCCCCUGGACAUUAGGACGGUCACAUGAAGGUUCGCUUGCUCCUGGCCUUUCGGUUUCUUUGGAUUGGUCAUCAGCCAUCUUUUGAGCAGCGUCGUCGAUAACUUGUUUUAGAUUAUCAACUUUGUUGUCUUUUGCAGUUGAUUCAGAGGCAAUCACUUUUUGAGGCUCAUCAAACAGAAGCAUGUAUUGCUCGAAAAGAUUUGAGAUAGAGAUCGUAACCUGACCAUUCUUUGGAAAGAUCUCUUGCGUUGCACCUUCUAUUGAUUUCAUCUUCUUAACAUAACUGUCGUCAAAGGUGACAUAAUAUGUUUCUUCAAUUUUCUUUGAGCGCUUAUUGAGAACUCUAUACGCCUUGGAGUUCAAGGAGUAGCCUAAGAAAAUUCCUUCAUCAGCCUUAGCAUUGAACUUGUUUCGAUUCUCUCUAUAGUUGAAGAUGAAACAUCUUGAACCGAACACAUGAAAGAAUUUCACAUUUGGUUUACGAUUAUUCAAAAUUUCAUAAGGUGCAAUGGAGAACCACUUGUUUAAAUAUGAUUUUUUUUUUUAGUAUAACAUGCAGCGGCAAUUGCAUCAGCCCAGAAAUACAAACGUAAGGACGCAAAGCAAUGCAUUGUUCGAGCUGCUUCACACAGAGAUCGGUUUCGCCUUUCAACGAUACUAUUCUGCUAUGGAGUAUAAGGGGCUGAGAAAUUGUGAGUCGUCCCCUUUUUAGCAAGAAAGUCUUCAAAAUAUUUGUUCUUGAAUUCCAAGCCAUUGUCGCUUCUCACAUUACGAACGAAUUUCCUUAGUUGUGUCUCUAUCUGUUUAAUAAAGAGCUUAAUCUUUGGAGUGGCUUCAGACUUUUGCUUCAGGAAGAAUACCCAUGUAAAUCUAGAGAAAUUGUCCACUAUAACCAGAAUGUAGUUGUUCCCCCCAAUGCUUUCAAUGGACGAUGGACGACAAAGGUCAAUAUGCAGCAGCUCCAAUGGUUCUUUCACCUUAGUAUUGAUAAUAGAAGGGUGACUUUGCCUACUCUACUUUCCCAUUUCACAUGCUGCACAAAUAUCUUAUUUAUCAAAUUUUAGAACUGGAAGACCUCGAACAUGAUCACCCAUGACCAACUUGUUGAUAUCCUUGAAAUUCAGAUGAGACAGUCUUCUAUGCCAUAACUAGCUUUCAUCAGAGUGAGCCUUUGUGAGUAAGCAAACUGCUGGUUUACCUCAAAUUGGGUUGAGGUUCAAAGGAUACAUUUCCCCCUUUCGCUUUGAAUUUAGUAGAAUGUUAUUAGUUUUCUUUUCGACAAUCUCUGAGCCUUCAUCGUCAAAUGAUACUUUAAAUCCAGUGCCAACCACUAGCUAUGAUACAAUGAUGAGAUUGUGUUGGAGUCCUUCAACAUAAGCCACUUUUCUUAUAGAGAACUUGCCAUUAGUGAUGAUUCCAUAGCCUUUGAUAGUACCAAAUGAGUUGUUGCCGUACUUCAUAAUUCCACCAUCCUUGAGUGACCGAAACUCCCUCAGUUCUUCCUUCCUUCCUGUCAUGUGACGCGAGCAGCCACUAUCAAUGUACCAUUCUUCGUCAAAUUGCUCGUCACGAAUAACCUGCAAAAUAUUAAGCAGAUUUAGGAACCCAAAGUUUCUUGGGUCCUUGUGAGCCUUUUACAGGAUAGGGAAUAGUAAUAGAAAUAUCAACCAUGUAUGUGCGUUUAACUAAAGUUGUUUCAUCUUUUCUUUUUAUGGUGAAAACUUUAAUUUUGGUUGAUUUAGUAGGAUUGGAAUUUGUGGUGUUGAUGUCAACAUUCUUUUGAAUCUCUUUUGGAAGAUUGUUAUCUUCAGGAAAGAGUUUUCCUUUUCCCUUUGAAUCCAUUGAAGGAUGAGAAUUUGAGUGGGAAGUGUUGGAUUCAGAAGUGACUUUGGAUCCCCUGUGUUUCUGAUUGGACUUGUAUGGAAUGGGACCGAAACUGCUCUUUCGGUUGCAGUUGGAUGAAGAGCUGAGACCGUUCUUUCGGUUGAUAUUACUUCGAGGACCAAAACUAUCUUGUUGGUUCCUUUCGGUCGAGGGAUCGAACCUCUCCUUUCGGUUCCUUUCAAUAGAUGGACCGAAACCUUCCUUUCGGUUCCUUUCAGUAGAUGGACCGAAACCUUCCUUUCGGUUCCUUUUAGUAGAUGGAACGAAACCUUCCUUUCGGUUCCUUUCGGUAGAUGGACCGAAACCUUCCUUUCGGUUGGUGUAGUACUGAGGACCGAAACUACUCUUUCGGUUCUUUCCCGUCGUGGGACCAAAACUCCCCUUUCGGUUCCUUGAUUCCUCUUGCGAUUUGUGCUUGCUUUCUAUCCUUAUAAAGUGAGGAUUUUGAGAUUUCCAAAAUUGUUUUCUUUCUGAGAGAUUCUUCUUGUAUCUCAGAUUUCUUUGAUGCUUUCGAUCAGCCACCUGUUUUGGAUUUUUAUGAAUGUUGGCCUUUCUUUUCGAAGUAUGAGCACAACAUUCACUUUUUUCUGAGGAUGUUUCACUAGUGGUUUGCACAGGUUCAUGUAUAUAUCUAUCAUAUUUUGCAGGCUCAUUUAGUGGUUCGUGUAUAUAUCUACCUUUCACUCUCCAUGAGGUUUUUUGAGAUAGGCCCUUAGUAUCGUCAGCGUUGUCUAUUGGGGCCGACCAGAAAAACUCGUCACAUCCGCCAGCAUUGUCUUCUUCUACCAUAGCUGUCAAUUCUGCAGUUUGUUGUGGAGUGACACCCAGUACUGUGUAGACUUGAUUUGGAGUGGUUUGUGCCUUUUGGUACACAACAACUUUAGCUUUGAGAACUUUGGUUUUGUCAGUAGACGAGCGAGCAAACUCAACAGAGGUUUCAGAAAUCAGGUUUUUGCGUGACUUAGAUUCACUUUUGACAAAUUCUGAACAGUCGACCAUAUCCUCUACAGAGAUUUCACUCAGAUCAUGAUCCUCAUUAAGUUCAGAUACAUUUUCAACAUCAAUUUUAUUUUUUGAACUUAAUUUGGCAUUCAAAGAGUCAAAUUUCUGUACGGUUUCGGUUCUUAAUUUCAAUAUAUCAUUUUCGUCUAACUGAUUUUUGAGCAUGUCCUUGUGGUCUUUGGACUUUAUGUAGGAUUCAAUUUUGUCCAGACCUAUUUUAUAUGAUGGAGAAACUUCGUCAAAAGAUACAACGCUUUCACAGUUGUAGGCUUCAACAUCGAUUUCAUCCUCCUUUAAUUCAAGGAAGGGAAAAAUCAUGCGAAGUAUCUUCUUUCCUAUUUCACAAUCAAGAUGCAAUUGAGUGAUGUUAAAAUAGAGCCUUUUAGCAAUUAAACAAAACAUAUUUCGCUGUUUAAGAAGUUUAAGAUUGUCUCUUUGCAAAUAAAUUGAAUCAUCCUUAGACCUAAUAAACUCCUUUUCCUUUUGCUCGAUCCACAUCCUCCGUUCCUCACUCUUUAAUGAAAUCCUGCUGAUUUGAUCAGUUUGGUUAGAAUUUGUGACACGGGUUUGGGUGAGAUUGCUACUUAUGCUCGAGAAUUUUGAUUUUAAGUUAUUUAAUUCCUUUUCAUAGUCAGUAAUAGGUAUUUUUAAAGAAACAAGAAUAUUUUGUACCUUUUUGAUCAACUCAUCACAUUUGUUGAUCUGUGCACUGACAGGUUUGGCAGCAAAACACCUGUCCUCUCGCUCCUUCUCGUCUUCUACUCCCCCGUCGGUUGUGUAUCCUCUCAUUUGAGACACACCUUUGGUUACUACAAAGCACCUUCCUGUUACAUGUUCUUCUUUUGCCAGCAUAGCCUUCCCAUGAGUUGGCUUCCAGACUUCAUCAUCCUUAGAAUCUGUGGACCAAACUUCCACACCACCAAGUUCAUCACAGUUGUUUGUAUCCUGCACAAUUAAAGCAUUCAUGGUAGUAUUGUUGGCAGCAGACUUUCUUUUCUUGAUUUCUUCCAGUCUUCUCAGGAGGCUCGCUUCCUCAUCUUCUUCAUUUUUCUUUUCUUCUUUCUUUCUCAGCAUACAAUCUUUUGCAAGAUGAUUCUUGCCUCCACAGUAAUGGCAGUCAAAUCCUGAGUCUCCUCCAACUUUCGCUUCUUUCUUUGACUCUUCAUACUUUGACCCCAUCUUCGGUUCCUCCUUGAUCUUUUCGGCGCUAUAACUACCCUCCCAGUUUCGGUUCUUGUUGGAUGGGAAUUUCUUCUUAAUGAAUUUUCUGGAAUUGGACACCAUCAUGGCAUAUUCUUCACCAGUUAGAUCAUAAUUGGCAGGAUCCAAUUCCUCUUCUUCUUCAACCGAGCUUUUUCCUUUAGAGAAAAGAGCUAAAGAACCCAGACUGGAAACCACAUUCGUUUCCUUAGACAGUGCACUCUCAUGGGAUUUCAAAAUACCCACUAGUUUUGCCAGAGAAUAUGACUUGAACUGUUCAUGAGCUUUAACUGUUGAUACAACAGCCAUCCAUUCGGGUCUGAGACCAUUCAUGAAAGUAAUUUUUUGUUCGAAAACAUUCCUUUUAAUCCCAUGCUUUAUCAUCUUACUUAAAAGAUGAUUGAAGCGAUCAAAGGUUUGAACAAGUUUCUCUUCAGACUUCUGCUUAAAGUCUCCAAAUUCAGAUAGCAAGAGAGUUUGAAAUGAAUUUUCCAAAUCUUCAUCAGUGGAAUACAAUUCUUUUAAUCUGUCCCACAUCUCUUUAGCCGUGGCACAAGAACUUACCAAACGAAACGUAUCUGACUGUCGCGCAAACCUUAUCAUUGUAACAUCCGGAUUUCCAGGUAUAAUAUUUUAUUCCUUUAUUUUUGGAAGUUGUGAGGGGACUCGGUGAGUUGGUGUUUAAACUCGCCGAGUAUGGUCGCAGAUUCGUAUCCGGGUUCACAGCCGGAUGCGGCGAGUUCAUGAGUGGACUCGACGAGUCCAUGCUGUUUAAUGAAGCCCUAAUUUCCUGGGUUUGGGACCUAUUUAAAGGCCCUUAGGGCUGUCAUUUGCGGCUACCAAACCCCAGAGAGAAACCCUAAGAGAUCUAGAGUGUUUGUGAGGAAGGAGAGUCCCUUUGUGAUCAUUUUGUUGGUGUAAUUGCAAGAAGGAGGAAACCAAGGCAAGAGGAUGCUGAAUGGGAUGUGAUUCUGGUGAUUUCAGAGCUCAUAGACUUAAUCUUGAGGUAUUUUUCGGACCUUCUUCAGUUGUGGUGUUUAUUUCCUAGAGUUAGGGUUUUCUAACCCCCUUUAGAGGAUGGACCGUGGAGCAAUUGGUCCCUUCUCGAGUUCAUGCUUUGGAUCUGGACUCAAAGAGGUCCAGAGACCUUAACCCUUGGGGCUUUUUGGAGUUAUUUUGGGAGUCAUGAACAUAGGAUGUUAUUUUGGGACUAAAUCACCAAGUAAGACCAUCUAGAUGCUAUUUGAGUGUCAAGGGCUGAACAUUACAUGAUUAUCAUGCUUGGGAAGGUCAGAUCUAUGGGUUAGAGGAACAGAUAUGACCUCAGGAGGUCUGUGGAGUUUGUGCAUGGCAUGAACUCGCCGAGUCCAGAGAUCAGACUCGGCGAGUAGGGUUAGGGUUUCCAGUAAAACACUCAGAGUGUAGACUUGCCGAGUUGGGAAAUAUCUCAGUGAGUCAGGGAGAGUUAGGGGACUGAAGUUCAAGGCGGAACUUGCCGAGUUGUUCUUGAGACUCGGCGAGUUGAGUCGGGGUGGCCCCGCGAUUCAUGCCAAGUGUCACUCGUCGAGUAAGGGGAAGGACUCGACGUGCCAAGAGGGACUAAGAGAAUUAGUAGACACGUGUAGACUAGUCGAGUCGCCCAAGUGCACUCGACGAGUCGGGUCAAAGUUUGACCGUUGACUUUUGUUGACUUUCAGGGUUUGGUCAACAGUGAGGCCAUUAAGCCAAGAGAGGGGUAAAAUGGUCGUUUACCCUUCUGAGGGUGUUAAGAAAGGUUUGAGUAUAGUUAUAUUUAUGAGAUUAUUUACUUUAUGUGAUUAGGCGGAGGCUAGAUCAUAUUUCUACCGAGUCAGAGACUUACCGAGACACCUGAGGUGAGUCAUCUAACUAUACGUUACCUAGAGUGGUAUUAUGUGUUACGUAUGAGAUUAUGUGCUAUGUGUUAUAUGUAUGUUGUAUGAUGUUAUAGACCGGACCGGAGGGUCCAACGAGCUAUGACCGGACCACAGGGUCCUACGAGCUACGGGACUGGAGGGUCCCGCUGAGACACAUCGACCAGAGGGUCGUAUUAUAGCCUCGAGUGGCGUAUGUUUUGUAUGCGGUAUGUUGGGGAACUCACUAAGCAUUUAUGCUUACAGUUGUUGUGUUAUGUGUUUCAGGUACUAGCGAGGACCGUGGGAAGACGCCGACGUGACUCGUACACACUAAAGAGAGAGUUUGAUUUUUAUGAUCUUGGGAUAUGUUAUGUUUCAAAAACUACUGUUGGAAAUAUUUGAGAAUAUUUUUAUAUGAACUUGGUUGAUGAAAAAUUGAAAAACUUGUUUUAAAAUUUACGUUGUUACAAGUUGGUAUCAGAGCCUUGGUUUGAGGGAUUCGGAUGCCUCUUCGGGCGUAUCUGAGCUCAAACUGAGGAUUUGAGGAAAAUUUUUGAUAAUGAAGUAAAUUUUUUGAAAAGAGUAAAAAGAGUUUUGAGACAAACAGAGCAGAGCCAUGUGUACGAUCAGCCAGCCCCCGAACGGUGAAUCCCCAAAAGUACCCUUACAUUAUGUGUUAUGAGAUAUUCUAUGUUACAUUAUGCAUGCUAGAGCAGGCUAGGUAUUCAUAUUAGGACUAGAGUGGCCUGAUUUGUGAUCCCUUAGCCUAGGAGAUUUCUGCUGUUGAGUUGCUUUGAGAGGGAGUAGAUAGCAGUUAGGAGCUUAUGAGAGGUCUAUCGGAGGGUAGCCAAUGCAUAAUGAGAGUAGAGUACUUGUAAUCCAGGAUCCAAGGAGGAGGACUUGGAGUGAAUGCUGAUGCGGUGUGGUCAGUAGUAUAGGGCCCGUACUACUGAAGACACCGGAUCAGUGGGCAUUCCAUGUAAGAAUCUUUUGGACAAUGGAGGACAAGUAGGGUUGCGUCAUCGAGUAUGAGUAUGCUCGAAUGAGUCUCUGAUAUUUAUUGUUGUAUUUCAGAAGCAUCAUGGUUGGGACUCGACGCACACCUCAGAGCAGUGGUGUCAGCGACGACGAGAUCCGUCGAUUGAUUCAUGAGGAGGUGGCUGCUGCCAUCCGGGUUGAGAUUCCUGAGAUGUUUGGGGACAUCAAGACCACAUUGAUUGAGACCUUUGAUGAGCGGUAUGAAACACUGACUGAGGCUGCGGCAGGUGCAGCUACGGCUGCUGUUGCUGCUGCCAGACCUCAGGGAGGUGACUCGUUGUUGUUUUGGGAGUUCAGCAACACGAAGCCACCAGAGUUUGAUGGGACAUAGGACCCGAUUGCUGCGAUGAGAUGGAUCUCUGACAUCGAGGGAUGUUUGUAUACGUGUUCUUGUCCAGAGCACUUGAGGGUACGGUUCGCUCUGAACCAGCUCCGCUUGGGAGCGAAGGAUUGGUGGAAGUUCGUGACGGCGAACUUCACUUUGGCAAAGAUUUAUGAGGUGACCUGUGAGAGGUUCACCACUAUGUUCAGAGACGAGUAUGUUCCCCCGGUGGAUAGGGAACGUUUGAUUUAGGAGUUCUUGACCCUCAAACAGGGUACUGAUUCUGUGGCAGUGAUCACCAGGAAGUUUCAUGAGAGGGCGAUGUUUUGCCCUGAGCAGGCUCGUAUGAGCCGUUAUCUGAGUGUUCUGAGGAGAGAUAUUCAGGAUUUCAUGGAGAACUCGAGUUACUGGACAUUUGCUGAGCUCCAUGCAAAUGCCCGGAAGAGGGAGAUUGAGUCGGAGACUCAGGCCAGGGAGGAUGCCGAGUCACAGAGGGCGGGUCGGCGACCUGCUCAGGCUAUAAGGGGUGUUUAAGGAAAUUGCCUAUAAAAUGGCGAUUGAAUGGGUAUCCACUCUUACCCACCGCACUCUUGACUAGUGGAGGGUCGUUAGCCGAACGGGUAGGAUAGGACGAAACCUUCCAUUAUAAGUAUAAUGAAGUAUAAAAGUAACUAAAUGUUUUCAUAAAAUUCCCAAUCUUAGUUACUUAGGCAAAAGUGAAUUGAUGCAAUUCCAUGAAAUUACACUUUGUGCCCUUGCGAAGACGUUAGUGGAGCGUGUGUGGUUUACCGGCACACUAAAUGGUUCUAAGCAAAGGUAGCAAAGGGUGACUCAAUGUUUGUCAUAGUUCGGUGGAGCGUGUGUGGUUUACCGGCACAUCGAAUAGGUGACUGUAACAUGUGAGGGCACCAUGUAAGUUUGCAUGGUUAUUCACACCCGCUUUGUGAUCCUCGGCAUCCCAGUCACAAACAAGAGGGGCAUAUCGAGAUUUAAACAUGCCAUUGAAAGUUCAAUGAAUCUCAAAGGAUCUAGGAGUUUUCAUAGAUUUAAAACUUAAAUUUCUUUUUCGUUUUUCAUGGUGGAAAUUAGUGAAUCGUCAUUCACUUACCUUCAAAUGUUCUGCAAUUUGGGUUACGGCAUCCCUCUCCCGAGUUGUAGAAUAUUGUGUUGGGUCCUAGCCUUAGUAUCUCAUUUGGGUGAUUUACUAAGGACUCAAUCAAUCAACUAACUUGAAUUCGUUUUCUCCCGUUUUGUAGAUGUCAAAGUUCGACAACUAUGGUCUUCCCAAAUCCCGUGGAACAAGCAUUCCACAUGAAGAUGAUAUUCCACGAUUCGAUCGAGGAACAAGAAAUCAUGCUUCACUUCCUCCACCUCCUCCAAUUAUUCUCCCUAACCCACAAGUUCAAAGGCUUGAAAAGUUCAAGAUCACUCAAGCCCUUUUGGCAAGUAAACAUAAAGAAGGAAAGUCGGUGUGUGCACACGUCCUAGGGAUGAAGUCACACAUUGAUAGGUUAAGAAUGUUGGGAUCCGUUGUCUGUGAGGAAAUGGCUGUUGAUUGGGUUCUUCAGUCACUUCCUAACUCAUAUAGUGAGUUCGUAAGAGAGUACUAUAUGAUGAACUACGACGUGACCCUUAUAGAUCUCACCUAUAUGCUUAUUGCUGCUGAAUCAGCAAUGGUUUGGCGCAAUAGAAAAGCAAAGUUGAUUGGUGAAUCUGCCUUCAAGACCUCUAUGGAUAUAGACAAUGGCAACGAAAGACAUGCUAUGAUCGAAAAGUUUGAUCAUAAGAGAAAGGCAAUGUCUGAAGUAGUUCCAUGUCAUGUUCCAAAAGAGUCAAUUUGCUUUUAUUGCCAAGAGAAAGGGCAUUGGAGACGAAGCUGCCCCAUUUACCUAAGAGAUCUAAGAGAUGGGAGAGUCGAAACGUAUGGCUCUAAUAUAGGUAAAAUCCAUUAACUAACUCUUUUAAGCUUCUAUUCUAGAUUCUUAAUACAUAAUGUGAUAAGAUUACAAUUGAUGUUUUGUAGGAUCGAAGAAAAGAAAGGAAGCUUAAGGGAAGAAGUGAGCAGAAUCUAACCGUGAAGGAAUGGAUUUCGAUCGCAUUUCUCGAAGAUUAGAUUCUUGAGCUACUACUUAGAGUUAGAAUUAGAUUGCUAAGAAAGAUGUAUUAGCAUAAGUUUUUCAAUGAGUUGCAUUGUAAGGACAAAUUUUUCCGCAAUAAAAUAAAUUUUGAUUUUAAAUUUUAUUUAUUUAUCCUUACAAUGGCGUGUAUGAAAAAUUGAUGUUAAAAUGUUUCUAUUAUUAGCAAUAAUGGAUUUGGUUCUUAUUAUGUUAUUUAUGGAAAGUCGAGAAUUUACCAAAUAGGGAGAGUUUCUCAUCGCCCAAGUUUCAAUUGGACAGAAACUUGGAAUCAUGCAACUUGGUUGCACGAUGAAUGAGAAAUUUCAUAUUUGGAAAUUAGACUAAUUCAUUGACAAAGUGUCAAGUGAAGGACUAGGAGAUCGAGUACACAAAGUUGCGUGUUGAUCAAGUCCACCAUAAGAGUAACAAAGAUAUUCGUCAUGAUUUACUAAAGGUUUAGUAAAUAUGAUUAUACUUAUAAGAUUAAGUGUAAUUCUGAAUUGAUUGAAAAGGUUUAAAUCAAUAGCAGAACGAAUAAGAAGAAUCAAGUAGGCAGAAAGAUAAAAGUUUCUCCAUUCUAAGAAGAAGGGAGAGUACCUUUUAUGCUUUAUGAUAGGUCUUAAUGAUUAAGAACCAUAUCUCAAUUGAUCCUCUAAGUGAGUCUUAGUACAAUUGUAUGUCUAAGAAGAGGAAUCAAGAAUUGAAGAAAUGGUUAAAUCAAUAAGUCAAUCAUACUUCGUUCCAAUAACAAGUCUUAAAGUUAAGAUUGUGACAUUGAGUGAAAGGUAUUAAGAAGGUUUGUAACUUUCAUUAAAUGUGGAAAGUUGUGAUGUCUUGGAUAAGACAAAGACCAACUAGGACCAAUUUAUGAAGUGUUUUGAUAAAAGCUACACUAACUCUUGAAUAUUUGUUUGUCAAGAAAUGUUUUUUGACAAGAGAAUCUUAUAUGUCAAGGAGUCAGUGGGAGUCUUAAUGGUCUUGAAAGGUUUCAAGAACAAAUCAAAUAAACCUUAUCGAUCAUCACUAGCACACGAGUUGAGGUUUACAACCUAUCGUGUUGACAUUAUUUUGAUUCUGUGCCAAUCCAAUCGAGUUAAUUAUGCAUGUGAGUUCUAUGAGUUCUCAUUUUGAACGCAUAAAAGGCAAAGCACCUUAAUCAAUGAAAGGUACAUUGAUAGGAAAGGGUGAGCUGCUUAACUACUUGGAAGACAUGGUGGGCAGCUGUGCUACCAUAAAGGCAAGAAAUCGAGAUCAAGAAAGUUCGAUCCAUAAGAGUUUGAAUUUGUCGUAAACUUUGGUUUUGACAAAUUCACAUGGAUAGGAACAAAUACACCGUUUAAAUCUAAGUGUCAUAAGAUUUCCUCCUUCAUGAAAAUGAUUGUGAGGAAAUGCUUUCACUAAGACAGAUUUUAAGAAGAUAGUGAUUGUAAAAUUGCAUUCUCGAAUUCAAUUAUGGUUACGGCAUCCCUUUCCAUAAUUUGAAUUGUGAGGUUUGGCAAUUAGUCUUAAUUGUUUAGACACACAUAUGAACUAUCGAAGGCAAAUGUGUAUAAGUUCAAGAAACCUUGAUAAAAGAUUAUCAAAGCACUAAGUAUUAGAAACAUGAACUUAAGAAAUUCAAUAAGCAUUUUUUUUCUGAAAGUUAAGAUGUUUAUGAAUACAUGUCGAAGCUAGUGGGAGCAUAAGUGUUAUGUUUUAUAAUAAUCAUCAAGAUAGUGGGAGCAUAAAAGUUAUGAUUGUAUGAUUAUUAAGGAAAGUAUUGCAAGGUUAGCAAUAUUAAUUAUAGAAAACAAGAGUCAUACUUUGCAAAGUCGCAAUAGUUGAAGAGUUGUUUUGCUAUAAUUAAGGGAGAGAAUAUUAUGCUUCAUUUCAAAUCUAAAGGUUUAGGUUGAGAAAUGUUAAUAAAAUUUAGUCAAAGGUACAAAGUGUGUUCUUAAAAUUUCGAUUAUGAUUACGGCAUCCCUCUUCACAAUUCGAAUUUUGAGAACAUAGCAAAUAAAACAUUAUGCGUCGUGUCCCAUACGCUUCGGGUAUAGGAUCGAUUGCAAAUGCUUUAAUGUUUGACCAUUCUAAAAUUUUCCAAAUGUCGAGCGCAUUUAGAGGGAAAAGGGACUAGAAUUGGUUUUGACUAAAAUAAUUAAACAACUAUCAAAGGACAAUCCAAAGUUCGACGAGGAUUGGUCGCUUGUGAGUAGUUGGAAGUAUAGUAUUGGAAAAUAUGGAAAUGUUUCCAUAUUGGAUGGACCAUAUCGACAUCAUUACGAAUAGAUAAGAUUCUAUUAAGAAUGAGUUGUCAUAUGGAACAUAUGGAAGUGUGUCCAUAUUGGGAAUUGAAUAUUGAGAAAUCUAUGACUAGAUUAGAAACUUCUAUGCAAAAGGAUGUUCAAAGAAUGUACUUUGAGUGAGAGACAUCACAUCUAUGGAAUUGUCUUGUAACAAUCUCCGAUAGAGGACUUUGUAAUAUCAUUGGCAAUAGUCUUUGUGACUUUGGUGCAGUGACAUUACGAAAGGAUAAGUUGCAUAGAAUGUUAGAAUCUAGCAUAUUCUAUAAGUAGCAAGAAUUUGAUAUUCUUUCACUUAUGAAAAAGGAUUUGGAGUUGUGAAAUGAGAAUGAUUGGAAAUGUGUUCAAUGUGAUCUAUUUCACAAAGUAAGAACCAUAGGUAAACAUUGUGUGCAUGCUAGGAGCAUGGGACAAGUGUUGUAAUUCAAGUAAGAAGUUGAUUACCCGAAACGACAAAUAAUGAGUAAUCAAUAUGGUGAUAAAUAAAAGGUGUUUUAUUUAUACUCAAAGGUUUGAGGCCAUAUGGGAUUAGUAUUAUUCUUGUGUUUCACAUUUGCAUGUUUUGACUUCCAGAAUAAUUGAGUUUAUUAAGAAUAAUCGAAUUAUUCGAACGGGCCACAGUCGUUCAUAUGUUGGAAGUAGAUAUGAAUGAAGACUGUCGUGAAUUGGUGUGUGGAUUGUCUAAAAGAGUAUUAGACAUAAGCAAAUGUUUGCUGCAACGUUCAUGAGUGCUUAUGAAUAUGAUUUGAGCAUUGGAUUAAACCCACGCUCACUUGGAUCACUCCAUGAAUUGUAUCACGAGUGAUUGGUGAGACGAUAACAUCUUAUAUUCUUGAAACCGAGAUGUGUGAGUUGUAUCUUGCAAAUCGGUUGCACAUUGAUAAUAUGUAAACGCACUAGUAACUUGGUGUUAUAAAACAUAUUGUUGUGUGUAAUUCGGUGAGUGAGUGCAAGCAAGCAUUGUAUCAAAGUUUAUCCGUUCCUUUUAUCCAAAGUAGGAUAAAAGCGAUAUCUUUGGGCCCCUCGAUGAUUUUGUGAUGACAAACGUAAAUGCUCGGCCGGGCUAGGGCUAAUUUGAUUUGUUCAAUUAGUCAGUCGUCAUAAAUCGGGAAUCGAGAUAUAGUACAAAGAGAAUGAUUUGAAAUCAUAUCUCAUAUGAUAUCUAGAAUGGAGGAAUAUAUGAUCCCUUAUCUAAGGACACGCGUAUCUGAUAGGAUCAGAGUUGACAGCGGCUUUGGAAAGCUACGAUUGCAGAUCAGGAUCUGAAGUCAUACGCAAAAUAGUUAUUAGACUUAUCCAAGUGGGAGACUGUUGGAUUAGUGUCUAAGUCCAUAACUAUUUUGGUAUGUACUUGACCCGAUGGUGCAUGGUCCUUUUGGGUUGCCUUCACCAAAGCAACUUGAUUGGAGAAAUAAAUAGAGAGAGAGAGAGGUUAUUAUGAUUUAUUAAUAUGUUAUAAGAAUAAUAUAUUAAAGGAGAAAUCAUAUUUGUUUAAUUAAUAUUGGUCAAUAAUUAAUUAAGAAUUAAUUUUGUGAUCAAAUGUAAUUAAUUAAACUAGAGGGGCUGAAUUGUAAUUAUGUGAUAGUUACAAAAUAAGGUAAGGAUUAUCUUAAGGAUAGGUUGGACGAAUUUGAGGUGAUAAGGACCUUAGAAUUCGACUAUGAUAAGGAUUCAAGGCUUAUCUUAUGGGUUGCUUGGUAAGCAAGCAACUAGAUAAGGAUAAGGACUGAAACCCUAUCUCUAAACCUAUAUGAACCCCCUUUGGCUCUUGAUUUCGUCCAGACCUUCCCAAGGCUUCUUAAGGACGAAUUCUUAUACCUCUUCUCUCUCUUUAUACCUUCUCCAUUUGCUCUUGGUGUUUGUAAGCCAUUAGAGGAGUGACACUUGUGACUCUAAGCCUUCCAAAGUCAAUACAAGGAGAUUUGGGAUUGUUAUUGCUACAUAACAAUCAAGGUAAUAUCUUAUACCUAAUUAUAUGUUAAUAUCGAUUCCCAUAUGCUAGAAUUAGGGUUUAUAGCCUUGGAUAACUUGCAUGUACAAUAGAGAAACCUAGAUCUAAGCGUUAGGGUUUGUAUGAGCACAUAGGAUGUCUUAUGACCAAAACCCAUCAGUAUGAGCCGUUAUCUGAGUGUUCUGAGGAGAGAUAUUCGGGAGUUCGUGGCGAACUCGAGUUACUGGACAUUUGCUGAGCUCCAUGCAAAUGCCCGGAAGAGGGAGAUUGAGUCGGAGACUCAGGCCAGGGAGGAGGCCGAGUCACAGAGGGCGGAUCGGUGACCGGCUCAGUCUCAGCCGACAACCAAGCGGGCUAGACCCACUGAAUCGAGAUCUGGAGGCGCGAAGGGCCGCACUUGUGGGAAGUGCGGCAAGAGCCAUGAGAGGUCGUGCAGGGCUGGAGUAUGCUACAAGUGCGGGAAGGAGAGGCAUAUCGCGAGGGAUUGUCCCAAGGGAUUUUCGGUUUGCUUUCAUUGCAACUAGACCGGCCAUUGGAAGGCCGAGUGCCCGCAGCUACUUUAAGGAUCAGCGCAUGGAUCUGUGCCUGCUGCUAGGGCUACCGAGGUUCAGCCGAUGAAGGCCGAGGCAUCGAAGGCUCGUGGGAGAGCAUUCCAGUUGACUGCGGAGGAGGUCCGCGUGGCUCCCGAUGUUGUGGCUGGUAUGUAUUCUAUAUUCAUCUUUUUUUUUGAGUUGAGUUAUUAUGCUUAUAUGAUGAUGUGCGUAGGUACUUUUCUUGUGAGUUCUAUGCCUGCUUUGGUAUUAUUUGACUCGGGUGCGAGUCGGUCGUUUGUUUCUGUAGCAUUUAGUCAGCACAUUAGUAUCCGUUGAGAGGCGUUGGAUCGACCUCUGCGAGUUUCCAUAGCUGAUGAGCGAGCAUUGUAUGCUUCAGAUGUGAUUCGAGGAUGUGUCCUUAAGAUCUUCGGUGUGGAGUUUCCGAUAGAUCUGGUUCUGAUUGCGAUGGGGGAUAUGUGUGUUAUAGUGGGUAUGGAUUGGUUGAGCCGAUAUGGAGCUGUGAUAGACUGCGAGCGUCAAUUGGUGACGAUUCGAGACCCUAGUGGGGGAGUACUUACAGUGUUCGGAGAGGGAACCCGAUGUGGGUCAGCGUUUUGUUCGGCCGCCAGGGCGAGGCAGAGUUUGCAGCAAGGCUGCAGUGGAUUCUUAGCCUAUGUGACAGACACACGAGUGGCCGUUAGGAGGACAAGUUCGAUUGAUGAGGUUCCGAUAGUAUGUGAGUUUCUGGAUGUUUUUCCCGAGGAACUACCGGGUGUGCCUCCCAAGAAGCAAGUGGAGUUCCGUAUCGAUUUGGUUCCGGGAGCAGCUCCUAUCACCAAGGCGCCUUAUCGCCUCGUGCCUCCAGAGAUGCAAGAGUUAUCCUCGCAGCUUCAGGAGCUGUUGGGGAAGGGGUUUAUUCGGCCAAGUAGCUCACCUUUGGAAGCACCGAACCUUUUUGUCAAGAAGAAGGUGAUGGGUUUUGGCCAUAUGAACAUCCCUAUGUGCACAUGCAAACCCUAAUGCUUGGAUCUAGGUUUCUCUAAUUAAACAUGCUUUGAAUCCGAGACUUCUAAUGACUAAUUAGGUAUAAGAACAAUACAAAAUCAGAUCUAGAAGUUUACCUUUGAAUCUCUUGUUUUGAUCUUGUUGUCUUGGAGCUCUAGAGUCACAAUUGUCACUCCUCUAAUGGCUUACAAACACCAACUAGCAAGGAGGAUGAUUUGAGAGAGAGGAGAGGGAUUAGAAAUCGGCCAGGGUUUCUUUGCUUUAGCAGAGGUGCCGAUUUCCCUUGCCCUAGGGGUCUAUUUAUACUUGUAAGGCUCCUAGGGUUUCACCCUUAAACCCUAGGUGGAUAAUCUUUCCUUAAAGCAAUCCUAAUCCUUACCUAAGAUAGCCUUGGACGAAUUUGAGGCAAUCCCAAGCCCUAGAAUCCGUCCAUCCUCUAUCCAAGAAGGAUUUACAGCCCAAAGUGUAACUAUCAAACAAUUGACAAUUUAUACCCUCUUAUUUAAUUAAUCUCUUUAAGUCACCAAAUUAAUACUAAUUAAUCUAUGACUUAUAUUAAUCAAAUAACAAUAUUAUUAUUCCUUAUAUUAUUCUCAUAAUAUAUUAAUAAUAUUUAUUCUCUCAUAAUAAAUCAUCCUAUCAAGUUGCUAUGGUGAAGGCAACCCAAAAGGACCAUGCACAAUCGGGUCAAAUACUUGCCUAAUAUAGUUGCAGCCUUAGACACUAUUCCAACAGUUUCCCACUUGGAUAAGUCUAGUAACUAUAUGCACAAGUACAAUUCGAUUUGCAAUCGUAGCUCUCAAAGACGCUGUCAAACUCUGAUCUAAUCAAUCUUGUCCUUUAGAUAAGGGAUCGUACAGUCCUCUGUUAGAUAUCAUGCUGACAAUUCUAUGGAAUGAUUAGUCAAGCAUUUUGGUUUCUCGAUCUCCGAUUUAUUCGACAUAGAACUUAAUCGAACACAUCAAUUCAGUUCUGACCGGGCCCGGCACAUAAGUCAAAUCAAAUCAUCGAGCGGCCGAGAUAUCGCUUUUACCUUCUUAGGUUAAAAGUUACAGAUAAACUUCGACUUAUAUGCAUUUACUUAUUCAUUAAUCAACUAUACACAACAAUGCGUUUUAUAACACCGAGUUACUGAUGCGUUUUCGCAUUAUCAAUGUACAAUCAAUUAACAAAUAACAAACCAUAUAUCUAGGUUUUAAGACUAUAUGAUAUUAUCGUCUUGCGAUCACCCUUUUAUAUCAUAUUCCAUAAGGUGAUUCCAGCAAGCGCGGGUUUGUUCCAAUGCUCAAAACUAGUUCAUAAGCACUCAUGAACGUUGCAGCAACCCUUUGCUAUGUCUAACACCAUUUAGACAAUCUACACACCAAUUCAUGACAAUCUUCAUUCAUAUCUACUUCCAACAUAUGAACGAUUGUGGACAAUUUGAAUAAUUCGAUUAUUCUUAAUAAACUCAAUUAUUCUGGAAGUCAAAACAUGCAAAGUGAAACAAUAGUUAAACAAUUAACAUAAGACAGUAACAUUACUCAUAAAUAAAACUCCUUUAUUUAAUCAUCAAAUGUUAAUUACAUUUAUCUAUUACACGUUUCUAAUACUAUCUAAUCUAUGCUAAUAUCAUCCUUCAGCCCAAUACUCCUAGCAUGCUGCAAGUGCUUAACCCUACUCAGUCCCUUCGUAAGCGGAUCUGCUGGGUUAUCUUCUGAUGAUAUCCUCUUCACUACGAGUUGUCCUUCUUCUACACGAUGUCUAAUGAAGUGAUAUUUUCUGUCGAUAUGUCUUGAUCUACCAUGAUCCCUCGGUUCCUUGGUCAAGGCAACCGCUCCUUCGUUAUCACAGAAAAUCUCCAUGGGCUCCUUUAUGGCAGGUACAACUCCAAGAUCACCGAUGAAGUUCUUUAGCCAUAUUGCCUCCUUCGACGCUUCGCUCGCUGCAAUGUACUCUGAUUCGCACGUUGAAUCAGCUACGGUCUCCUGCUUGGAACUCUUCCAUGUCACUGCUCCUCCAUUUAGGGUAAAGACCCAGCCCGACUGCGAACGGUAGUUGUCCCUGUCGGUCUGAAAACUGGCGUCACUAUACCCUCGCACCUUCAAGUCAUCACUCCCUCCGAGGACUAAGAACCAUUCCUUCGUCCUCCGAAGGUACUUAAGGAUAUUCUUCACCGCAAUCCAAUGUGCUCUGCCAGGAUUCCCUUGAUAUCUGCUAACCAUGCUCAAAGCGAAGGCUACAUCAGGGCGAGUACAAGUCAUAGCGUACAUGAUUGAGCCAACUGCGGAAGCGUAUGGUACUCGGCUCAUUUCUGCUAUCUCAGCUUCGGUACUCGGACUUUGAGUCUUACUCAAUUUGGCAUUACUUUGUAUCGGUAGUUCUCCCUUCUUUGAGUUUUCCAUACUAAAACGUUUUAGUACCUUCUCUAAGUAAGUAUUCUGACUAAGUCCAAUUAGUCUCUUACUUCUUUCUCUUACUAUCCUUAUUCCCAAAAUGUAAGAAGCCUCUCCGAGGUCCUUCAUAGCGAAGCACUUCCCGAGCCAGGACUUAACCUCCUGCAGAGUCGGGAUGUCGUUUCCUAUGAGUAAUAUGUCAUCGACAUAUAGAACGAGGAAGCUUACUAUACUCCCACUGGCUUUGACAUAUACACAAGAUUCGUCUUCGCUUCGUACAAAUCCAAACUCUUUGACUUUCUCAUCGAAGCAAAGAUUCCAUCUGCGAGACGCUUGCUUAAGUCCAUAAAUGGACUUCUCAAGCUUACACACUCUAUUCGGAUGCUUCGGAUCCACAAACCCCUCUGGCUGAGCCAUGUAAACAUCCUCAGCCAACUUUCCGUUAAGGAAAGCGGUCUUGACAUCCAUUUGCCAAAUCUCAUAAUCAUGAAAUGCGGCAAUUGCUAGCAUCACUCUAAUAGAUUUAAUCUUCGCAACUGGUGAGAAGGUCUCAUCAUAGUCAACUCCGGGAGUUUGAGUAAAGCCCUUCGCAACCAAUCGCGCUUUAUAUGUGUGUACGUUUCCAUCCACGUCGGUCUUCUUCUUGAAGAUCCAUUUGCACCCAACGGUCUUACGUCCGGGCACAUAAUCAACCAAAUUCCAAACUUGGUUAUCAUACAUGGAUUGGAUCUCGCUAUCCAUUGCCUCUUUCCAUUUUGCAGACUCCGGGCCUGCCAUGGCUUCCUUAUAGCUAUUAGGUUCAUCAAGAUUUAUUAGUGUACCAUCACUAAUAUACGUGUCCCCUUCGGUAGUAAUAUGAAAACCAUAAAACUGGGGUUGAACUCUAACUCUAUCGGAACGUCUAAGAGGUAAGGAUUCGUCAAUCGGUUCAACCGGAGUUUCCUCCUCGGGUUGAGUGCCAGCGGUAGAGGUUCCUUCAUCUAUCGACUCUUGAAUCUCUUCAAGCUCGAUUUGCCUCCCACUGUCUCCUUGGCUUAUGAGUUCUCGCUCUCGGAAAACUCCUCUCCUCGCAACGAAGACAACAUUGUCCUUCGGUCUAUAGAAGAGAUAUCCAAAGGAUGUCUGCGGGUAGCCGAUGAAAAUACAUCGCUCACUUCGAGGUUCAAGCUUGUCGUGAGUAUCUCGUCUUACGAAAGCCUCGCAACCCCAAACCUUGAUAUGUGCCAACGAGGGAGCUUUCCCUGUCCACAUCUCGUGAGGUGUUUUGGCAACCUUCUUAGUAGGGACUCGGUUAAGGAUAUGGGCGGCAGUCUCUAAGGCAUACCCCCAAAAAGAGAUAGGUAGUGAAGCACGACUCAUCAUAGAGCGAACCAUAUCCAAUAAGGUUCGAUUACGCCUUUCUGCCACACCAUUCAACUGCGGUGUCCUAGGAGGCGUCAAUUGUGAAACUAUUCCACACUCCUUGAGAUAAUCGUGGAAUUCAAGACAUAGGUACUCUCCUCCUCGAUCGGAUCGAAGCAUCUUGAUUUUCUUGCCAGAUUGAUUCUCCACUUCAUUCUUGAACUCUUUGAACAUUUCAAAAGUUUCUGACUUUUGCUUGAUAAAAUAGAUAUACCCAUAUCUACUAUAAUCAUCGGUAAAAGUCAUGUAGAAGCGGUUCCCAUCCUUCGUGGUUGAUCUAAACUCCACAUACANUCGGUAUGUAUAAGGUCCAAUAGACCCUCACCCCUUUCACAUGUACUUGUGAAGGGUGACUUGGUCAUCUUUCCAAGUAAACAAGAUUCGCAUGUGUCAUCUUCCCUAAGGUCGAAUGACUCCAACACUCCAUCCUUUUGGAGUUGGGCUAUGCGUUUCUUGUUGACAUGUCCAAGACGACAAUGCCACAAGGAUGCUCUAUCCAUACUAUUGGAAGAAUCUAUGUUCAAAACAUCAUUUCCUAAGUUAUCAACAAUCAUAACAGUUUCAUAAAUUCCAUUGCGUGGUAUAGCUUCAAAAUAAAAGACACCAUUUAGAUAAGCCAAGAUAGAACCAUUCUCAUUAUUAAAAGAAAAUCUAAAACCUUGUCUAAACAAACCAUGAAAUGAAAUGAUGUUUCUAGCCAUUUCUAGCGAAUAUCAACAAUUGUUCAAAUCUAAACUUAAAUCAUUCCUAAUGUCACACCCCGAAAACCGAAGGCGGAAACAUUUCCGGGGUUGACUCCACGUUGAGUAUCAAAUCCAAUGUACAUAGUAAGUAAAGUAGAACAACCAUUACAUUACAUAGUAAGUAAAGUAGAACAACCACGUUGAGUAUCAAAUCCACGUUGGGUCUGAUCGAGGAAAACCCUAAAUCCGGGACUUGGAGCCUNNNNNNNNNNNNNNNNNNNNNNNNNNNNNNNNNNNNNNNNNNNNNNNNNNNNNNNNNNNNNNNNNNNNNNNNNNNNNNNNNNNNNNNNNNNNNNNNNNNNNNNNNNNNNNNNNNNNNNNNNNNNNNNNNNNNNNNNNNNNNNNNNNNNNNNNNNNNNNNNNNNNNNNNNNNNNNNNNNNNNNNNNNNNNNNNNNNNNNNNNNNNNNNNNNNNNNNNNNNNNNNNNNNNNNNNNNNNNNNNNNNNNNNNNNNNNNNNNNNNNNNNNNNNNNNNNNNNNNNNNNNNNNNNNNNNNNNNNNNNNNNNNNNNNNNNNNNNNNNNNNNNNNNNNNNNNNNNNNNNNNNNNNNNNNNNNNNNNNNNNNNNNNNNNNNNNNNNNNNNNNNNNNNNNNNNNNNNNNNNNNNNNNNNNNNNNNNNNNNNNNNNNNNNNNNNNNNNNNNNNNNNNNNNNNNNNNNNNNNNNNNNNNNNNNNNNNNNNNNNNNNNNNNNNNNNNNNNNNNNNNNNNNNNNNNNNNNNNNNNNNNNNNNNNNNNNNNNNNNNNNNNNNNNNNNNNNNNNNNNNNNNNNNNNNNNNNNNNNNNNNNNNNNNNNNNNNNNNNNNNNNNNNNNNNNNNNNNNNNNNNNNNNNNNNNNNNNNNNNNNNNNNNNNNNNNNNNNNNNNNNNNNNNNNNNNNNNNNNNNNNNNNNNNNNNNNNNNNNNNNNNNNNNNNNNNNNNNNNNNNNNNNNNNNNNNNNNNNNNNNNNNNNNNNNNNNNNNNNNNNNNNNNNNNNNNNNNNNNNNNNNNNNNNNNNNNNNNNNNNNNNNNNNNNNNNNNNNNNNNNNNNNNNNNNNNNNNNNNNNNNNNNNNNNNNNNNNNNNNNNNNNNNNNNNNNNNNNNNNNNNNNNNNNNNNNNNNNNNNNNNNNNNNNNNNNNNNNNNNNNNNNNNNNNNNNNNNNNNNNNNNNNNNNNNNNNNNNNNNNNNNNNNNNNNNNNNNNNNNNNNNNNNNNNNNNNNNNNNNNAGUCUUACCAAUUACAGUUAUGGACUUAGACAUUAAUCCAACAUAAGCCAUGUAAACAUCCUCAGCCAACUUACCGUUAAGGAAAGCAGUCUUGACAUCCAUUUGCCAAAUCUCAUAAUCAUGAAAUGCGGCAAUAGCUAGCAUCACUCUAAUAGACUUUAUCUUCACAACUGGUGAGAAGGUCUCAUCAUAGUCAACUCCGGGAGUUUGAGUAAAGCCCUUCGCAACCAAUCGCGCCUUAUAUGUGUAAAGCCCAUCCACAUCGGUCUUCUUCUUGAAGAUCCAUUUGCACCCAACGGUCUUACGUCCGGGCACAUUAUCAACCAAAUUCCAACUUGGUUGUCAUACAUGGAUUGGAUCUCGCUGUCCGUUGCCUCUUUCCAUUUAGCGGACUCCGGGCCUGCCAUGGCUUCCUUGUAGCUGCUAGGUUCCUCCAAAUUNUACACGUGUCCCCUUCGGUAGUAAUAUGAAAACCAUAAAACUGGGGUUUCUAACUCUCUCGGAACGUCUAAGAGGUAAGGAUUGGUCAAUAGGUUCAACCGGAGUUUCCUCCUCGGGUUAAAUACCAGCGGUAGAGGUUCCUUCAUCACUCGAUUCUUGAAUCUCUUCAAGCGCGAUUUUCCUCCCACUGUCUCCUUGGCUUGUGAGUUCUCGCUCUCGAAAAGCCCCUCUCCUUGCAACGAAGAUAACAUUGUCAUUUGGUCUAUAGAAGAGAUAUCCAAAAGUUUUCUGUGGGUAGCUGAUGAAAAUACAUCGCUCACUACGAGGUUCGAGCUUGUCGUGAGUAUCUCGUCUUACGAAAGCCUCACAACCCUAAGCCUUGAUAUGUGCCAACGAGGGAGCUUUCCAUGUCCACAUCUCAUGAGGUGUUUUGGCAACCUUCUUAGUAUGGACUCGGUUAAUGAUAUGGGCGGCAGUCUCUAAGGCAUACCCCCAGAAUGAGAUAGGUAGUGAAGCAUGACUCAUCAUAGAGCGAACCAUGUCUAAUAAGGUUUGAUUAUGCCUUUCUGCCACACCAUUCAAUUGUGGUGUCCUAUGUGGCGUCAAUUGCGAAACUAUUCGUCAUUCCUUGAGAUAGUCGUGGAAUUCAAGACUUAGGUACUCUCCUCCUCGAUCGGAUCGAAGCAUCUUCAUUUUCCUGCCCAAUUGAUUCUCCACUUCAUUUUUUAAUUCUUUGAACUUUUCAAAUGUUUCUAACUUCUACUUGAUUAAGUAAAUAUACCCAUAUACAUCAAUAUGUAUGAGGUCCAAUAAGCCCUUUAACAUGUGCUAGUGAAGGGUGACUUGGUCAUCUUCCAAGUAAACAAGAUUCGCAUAUGUCAUCUUCCCUAAGGUCGAAUGACUCCAACACUCCAUCCUUUUGGAGUUGGGCUAUGCGCUUCUUGUUGACAUGUCCAAGACAACAAUGCCAC
This 55458-nucleotide long non-coding RNA is filed under the name Lactuca sativa (garden lettuce). Its description in RNAcentral is "long non-coding RNA (LSAT_LNC009052)". The record is from RNAcentral. Lineage: Eukaryota; Viridiplantae; Streptophyta; Magnoliopsida; Asterales; Asteraceae.